CGACAAAUUUGCACCUGGAGAUGAGGGAGUGGAAGGAGAGGCGACGGCGCGAGGAGAGAGAGAGGAGAAGUGUUUGUUAAAUUGAAGAGAGUAAGAGGAUAAGGAGAGGUGUAAUCUGCUGUCGCCGCGGAGGAGGGAGCGCCUGGUGAGGUUGUUGAUCAGACGGUGGUGAUUUCUCCUCGCAACAGCAACUGAUGAUGAUGAAAAUUUGGCGCGAGGUACGAAAGAGCGAAAGUAGAAUCUGUUGGAAGCGAGGGAAGUACAAGAGAGAGAACGAAGCAACGCGGCUCGCUCCAUUGUUAGAAGAAGGAUAGGUACUACGGAGAGAGAGCCUGAAGCGAUAUAGAGCGCUGAAGCGUUUGAGAUUUCGUGAUGUGGCAGUUUUCUAUUGGUUGGGUUUUGUGGGGGGUUUUUUUCGAUCAAGUGAAUUGAAAGGCAUGGGAAUGGAAAAGAGGGAAAAAUAUCAAUCCAUCAAUCAACUGAAGUUGAGUGCUUGUGUGAGCGCCAAGUAAGUUGUUUAAUUUCUGCCCUUAAAAACUUGGAUAAAAAAUAAACUAAAAUUAUGUGGGCAAUUGAUUUAUUAUUUUUUUUUUUCCCAUCGGUGUCAAUUACUUGAGUUUGCUUGUCGUGGAGAUCCAUCAUUUGUUUUUGUCAAUAUGAGAAAUGAAAUUUUUUUUUUUUUUUUUUUGAAGAAUCGAGAUAGGUAGCCAGAAAAGGCCAAAAUUUUUCAAAGAGAGUAUUAAAUAUUUAAGAUGCAAUUAAGACACAUUGAGAUAUAUUUUUAUAAGAAGAGAAUUUUGUUUCUCAUAUUUGGUGGACAGUAAUAAUCAUUAGAAUAUUUUGUAAUUAAAUCGGAUUGUAGUGACCAAGUUAAAUAUAAUAUCUGUUUGGUAUAACUUAUUAUUUAAUUUUAUAAAUAAAAAUAUACUAAACAAAUAAGUUUUAUUUACAAAAACUCUUCUAAGAAAAUUUCUAAUUAGAUAAACUCUAUUUAAAAAAUUAUAUUAAAGAAACAAAUAUAGGAGGAGUAUUUAUAAGUUUAUUUGAUAAAUAAUCACUACUAGUCUAAAAGCAAAAGCUCUAAUUAGAUAAGAUUUAUUUAAAAAAUUAGACUAAACAAACAAAUACAGGAGGAGUGUUUGUAAGUUUAUUUGAUAUAUAAUGACUACUAGUUUAUUAUGUUAAUGUGUCACCUGAGCGUAUACACCCAUAUUUAGGGUGCGUUUGUGAUUGAGGUGCUAUAUCUUUUAAGUUGCAUCUGCUGUAAAAAAAGAAAUUGUAACUAUGACACAAAAGUUAGUAAUAUAUAGUAAAUAUAAAUUUUAAAAAAUAAUUUUGAUAAAAUUAUUAAAAAUAUUAUAGAUUUUCUAUUAUACAAGUGAAAAAUCAUAUCAACAUACUUUCCAAGUUACAGCAGCUAGUGUUUACCAAACACUUUAGUGUUGUAACUUUUAAGCUAUAACUAUCCAAUUUCAAUCUCAAACGCACCCUUAAUGGUAUGAUUUUGGAAAGUUAUGGCCCUAGUCAUGGACGGAUUAGCAUAGAGAUGAGUAGCAAGGGUGCGACACUUCUAAGAAAUUAAAAAAUAAUAAUAAUAUCCAAAUAUUAGGUAUUAUGUAACAUAUGUGAUUUAAAAUAAAAUGAGGCAGUUAAGGAUUUUGGCGGUUAAGGAUUUUAUUAAUAAACAAAAGAAGAAGCUGGAAAAAACAGAGCAAAAACAGAAGCCACACGUGUGUGAGAGAGUGAGAGAGAGAAGCCGUCAACCCUACCCGAAAACCCGACUCGGAACCCGCGACCUUGACCCGGCCAUAACUCCCAUUUCCGGCCACCGUUUCGGCCGAGCUUGGUACCAAUCUGAAGCUUAGAAGCCGACCGUCGUUCCCCUGCCAUCCUCGCUGCCGAAAACCAACCGGAACGCCGGCGAUCGAAGCUUGAAACCCGUGACUGUUUCACUUUGCUUCGCCAGGAUUUUCGCCGGUUUUGGGUGACACCACCGGUUGGAUUUUGUUCCUCAUGACUCCCUCUUCCUUUUUCAACCAUCCAUAGGCACCGAGAGUCACUGUUUUGCCGUCGGUCGAUUGUUGGAAUUCACGGCUGCCGAGCUAGAUUUCGGCGUCGUUGCCGCGCGUUGGAGCUCACCGCCGGUACCAUUGAACUCAGCGUGAUUGGAACUUUCAGAUUUGAGCUUCCUAGCCAGCGUUGACCAAAUUUCGGUGACAGUUGAUCGGCAAGGGCAUUUUGGUAAUUUCACACUAUGAGGGUAAUUUUGUAAUUUCUGAGCCUGUGGAUAUUUUAGUAAUUCCUAGAAUUAAGGAUUGGGUGUAAUUACGAUUCCGAGGGUAAUUCAGUGAUAUACGAUUUCGGAGCAUGUUAAUGAUCUACGGACUCAAGGGCAUUUUAGUAAUUUUAUGGACACGGGAGUUGUCAAUUAUGGGUAGAUAUUCGUUUCGAGUUUAUUGCAUAAAAUUUAGUCAUAAUUCUGAUUUACGGAAAAUAAUUAUGUCGUUUCCUUGAUUUAGGAGGAUUCGCGAGCGAGAACCGGUCUGCGGACGUGGACGAUAACUGACCGUGAACACCGUCAUUGUGAGUGGAAUAUACAAAACCUAUUUUCAUAGUUAAUUAUGAUAGUAAAGCAUGUUUGCGAAAUAAGUAUUUUAAAUGUUCUGAUUUAAUGAUUUCCUCGAACUGGAUUUUAUUCACGCAUUGGUAUAUUAUUAAAAUAUUUGGUUAAUGAUUUUGCAUAUCAACUUUGAAUAAGCAUGAUAGUAUUUUAAAGAUAAGAAAAGUGGAUUCAAAUGUGGUAUGCUUUAAAAUAUGGUUAAGAGGUAUGUGAAUAUGAGUAUAAUGAUUAUUUUUGAAAUCAUUAGACAGUACCCUUCCCUCCAGAUAUAGUGAUACAGAUGAGAUGAGAGGCCUUUGGGGCCCGUCUAAACACACAUAGAGGCUUUGGGCCGUGUGUUUGGAUGCUUUUGCCUUUUGGGGGCAUAUGCAUGCGGUAUGAUGAUUACAGAGAUACAGAUAUGAGAUACAUACAUAUAUUGAGAUACAUAUGAUACAUAUGAGAUACAGGCCUUUGGGGCCCGUCUGAGUACACACAGAGGCUUUGGGCCGUGUGCUUGGGCGAUUUUGUCCCUUGGGGACUAGAUUAUGCAUGCACAUAUAUGAUGAGAUAUGAGAUGGUAUUUCCCUGUCUAUCCGUGUAGCUUCGGGGCGUGACGUUACCUAGAUAGUACGUCAUUGCCCGUCCGUUGAAGUUCGGAUAUGACGAGAUUAUUUCCAUGGGUACUUGUUUGGUGAUGAUUUUCAGAUUUGUGAAUUCUAUAUGAUAUUGUGAUAUGAUUUCCAUGGUUAGUAAUCUGAUUUAAAUGUUUAAUGAUUUAUUACUGGUUUCUCGCUUAUGGUUUAAUAAAAUCGUGUUUGGAAAUGAUAUGAUUAUUUCUUUUAAAGUAAGAAUUAAUUUUCAAAACUACUAUCCACUCACUGAUCUCACUGAGUUUUAAACUCACCCCGUUUUUAUUAUAUUUUCCCCCCACCAGGAGGUUGCAGGUACACCAGACCGACCCAGCGACUGUAAAUAUAUUUUGAGUCUUGGCCACGUGAUGGUGUCAGAAGAUAUAAAUAUUUUUGUUAGGACAUCUUGGUUAUCUCGUCCUGUUGGGAUUGUAUAAUUUUGUUAUAUUAUUCUUUUGGGAUUAAGAAUAAAUUGAGAUAUUAAUAUUAGUUAUAAUAUUAUCUUUUGAGACUCUGGAGAUAUAAAACUCAACAUUUUGGUUGAGGAUGUUGAUCACUGGAGUUUGUUGUAUAUUAAAUUGUAUUGAGAGUGUUAUAUUCAUAUUUGUAUAUUGUGAGUGUUAUAUAUAUACAGGAGACUCUGUCAAAUUUUCGGUAGAAUCUUUACUAAUAGAAUUUUUAUCAAGUCCGUUUUGAUAAGACUAGAUAGACUCGCCUCGAAGGGGAUUCGGGGUGGGUCGUUUCAUAUUAAAUUAUAAUAUAAGUUGAAAGACAUUCCUAAAUUAAUUAGUAUUCUCAAUCUAUUUAGUCUUUUGUAUCCUACUUUUAUUGUAAAUGGUUUAGUCAUUAAUAUCUCUAAAAUUCUAUAAAUUUAUUAUAUUUAAUACAAUUUAUCUUUCCUCAUAGGUAGUAAAAAUCAUAAUUCUCUUCCCUAAUUUAAUAUUCCAUUCAAAAAUAUUUUUUUUUGUUUGUUUUUAAAUUUAUUGUUGUUACAAUCUUUGACAAAAUUAACUCAUUAUUUAGUUUGUUUCUUUAAUUUCUCAAAUAAUAUUUUCUUUCCUUUUUAUUGUUUGUGGGAUGAUAAACCCUAUCCAUUAACCACAAGCAUUUACUUAUAUUCUAACUUGAACUAGUGGGCACAUGUACAUUCACAGUCAGUUGAGCUACACCUAAGGGACAAGAAAUAAUUAAUUUUAGAAGUCAAUAAUAAAUAAUUCUUAUUUAUUAGAAAGACAUCAAAUUGAAGUUUAAGAGAUUUUUUGAUGUUUGUUUAUCCUUUUUGAUUUUAAGAGAUUUUUUAAACUCAUAGCAAUCACAACAACAACCACUCGGGCAGUAGCCCGAGUGGCCAGGGCUGCUGCCCUCCAACUUGGAGGGCAGUAGUUCGAACCCCCAUAAAAGCAUUGUGGGGGUAUUUCAUUCUUCAAUUAAUUUGAGUGAAGGUAGUCUUCUCCUUUACCCAUGAGUGAGGAGUAGACAUCCCUUGAAUAUUUGUGAGGGUUAAAAUCUGGGCAGAGCUCCAUUAGCAUUGAUGUCAGUUGGUCCCAGUAAUAGUCUGAUUUGUAAAUAUCAGUAAUAGUCUCAUGUAUAUGAGUUGUAAUCUGAGCAAUAGUCUCAUGUAAUCAAAAAAAAAAAAAAAAAAGCAAUCACAACAACAUAAUUUACUAAAUGACAAAUUGCUUUUUCAAUCAGUAGUUUAUUAUCUUAUAGCAACUACAAUAACACAGUUUAUCAAACGUCAAGUUGUUUUUUCAAUCAACAGUUUAUUACAUUUGCACAGUAAAAACAACUUGUUUUAAUCAGCAACCGCAAUUCCAAACUAGCCCUCAAUGCAUUUUAUGUUAAACUUAUAUAAUGAAAUAGCUCUUUUAGUAUUUAUACAUAAGAAGGUUCGUAUUCUCACACUAUAUACAAGUGAGGUUUGGUCUAUUAGAUCUCACUCUUCUAAACUCGUGUUUUGCAUGAGCUUCAAGGAUUUUGUGUUCUAUGUUUAUGAGUUUUUCCAUUAAUACAUGCACUAAAAGCGGAUAAAACUAGCUAUAAAAUUAUAAUUGGUGCACUGGAUGCCAUAUCGCAUGCAAAUUUAAGAAAAUUUUACUCAGUAAAUUCGUUUGGAGAUAUGAUGAAGAAUUCGAUAAUGAUACAUAGGUAAAAAAAAAAAAAAAUUGAGAUGCCACAUUCAAUCCCAUCUCACAAAUCUUUUGUGUAUUAUUUCCAUAAUACAUGCACAAUUAAGUCAAGUAGUUAAAGUGGAUUGGAAAGAAAACAUUUUUAACUAUGAAAAAGGUUUUUUUUUUUUUAAAUAUUAUAACAAUCAUAAUUUUUUUAGUUAUAAGAUAUAAAAAUGAUUCUAAAUGGGCUAUUGGAUCUGAUUAUUGGUUCGUUGCAGAAAGGCCUGGUUCUUAAACCUGAAUACAGACUACAUAAUUCUGAGGACCAAUUAUUUCCAUAAUUAAAAAAAUCACUUUCCGCGCUCAGCAUGACGACGUGACCCAUCACAAAUUAUGUCAAAGAAAAAUCAAAUGAGAAAUUGUCACGAAACUCACAACCGGACACGGUAAUAAAAUUUCUCAGGAAAAACGUUGGGGGUGGCUUUCCAUACUUUAGCCUCUAUUACCAACCCACUUUUGGAAUUCCCUUCAACCCGAUUACUACACUUUUAUUAUUAAAUUCCAUCCAUUCAAAAGAAGAUAAGAGCUUCAUACUACUUUAAUCUUUAAGGUAGUUGGGGAUUGCUUUAGCUUUUCAAAAAAUCAAAUUCUAAAAUAGAUUUCGAAAUAAUCAUCUUUACAAAUAAUUCGGUAAGGUGUUUGGCAAAAUAAAAUUAAUAUUUUAUUUAUAUAACAUAAAUAAAAUAAAAUCACUUAGUAGAUAAAGUGCAUCAAUUUUUUUGUUUGUUUGACUUUAUAACAUAAAUAUUUUCCAUCCUAACAGACGAAAUUCACUAGUAGAAUAUUGUAUAUGUGGAUGUUAUUUUUUCAAUACGAUAAGAUAUAUGUUAGGAUCUUAUGUUCCGCAUGGCGUACAUGAACUAAAAAAUAUGACAAUUUAAAUGAAUAUAUAAAACUCGCGAACUCAAUUCUUUUAUAAACCAAUUUUUAAAAGUGAGUUCUAUCUACGAGGUCUUAUUGUUCAUUUGUGUAUUGAGAGGAACUUUAAAUCCCACAUGAACUAUAGCCAUGGGAUUUUAACUUGUUCAUGAUAUUCAAUUAUACGAACGACACUUAGUUGGUUUUAUAUUUUCUUUUUUAUUAAAAAACAAAACAAAAUGUUUUGUAUCAAACCUUUUUGAACAACUACAUGAGAAAGCACUACGAAACUUUACCUUUUUUUCAUUAAAAAAAAAGAUGUUUUUUAUGGGGUAAAAUUGCGAUAUGUAGGAAAUGAAUUGAUGGGAUAGCUGGAAAUUUAUCCUUUUUUUUUUUUUAUACAAAAAGGGCUAAGUUAAAAACUAAGCAAUGACCAAUCGAGGAUAAGCAGUCCCAGAUACAUCAUGCAGCAGCCACCCUUCAGUUCCGGCCGGAGGCCUGGGAAACACAUGGACCCCAAGAGGCAAAAGAAGAGCUUGGUUGGCAAGGUAAUCAGCUGCAAAAUUUGUUUCUCUAUAACUGUGUGACAGAGAUACCUGCCACUCCAUGUUAAGAAGUCUUUUGAUACCCUGAAUGAGAGGAGUUAGCAUUGGGAUGAUUGGACUUUGUGGCUAGGAUCACCGUAAUGCAUUGACUAUCAACUUCAACAAGUAACUGUCUAAUCCCAAUAUUCCAGGCAAGCUGCAACCCUUGAAAUAGACCCCAAAGCUCCGCCCCAGUAAUAGUACAAUGACCAAUAUUCAUACCAAAGCCGUGAACCCAUUCUCCGCAAUAAUUUCUAAUGAGGCCACCUACACCUGCAUUUCCUGCAAUUUUCCGAGCACCAUCUGUAUUUAGUUUAAAAAAAGGCCAAGGUGGGGCCAACCAUUUCAACCAUUUGACUAUCCUUUCAUGGCCUGGUCUACAGAUAUUCUCCAUGGAAGCAUUAAUUUCAGCCACACGGUGCGUGAUGUCAAGCACCAAAUUUGCAACACUGGUGCUUGCAUCAUUGUGGAUGAAUUGAUUUCUCCAAUACCAAAUCCGCCACAGAGCAACACCAAAAAUGCAGGGCCAAUUUUCCUCUCUCCUAAUCAACCCCAUGUUCUUGAGAUUAUAGUGGAUCCAACUCGUCAAAUCCAAAUCAAAAAAAUUAUUCCAUAAAGUACUAGGAACCAAUCUCAACCACACCUGCCGAGCAAUGAUACAAUCUCUCAACACAUGAAUGGUAUCUUCCAAUUGAUGGCCGCAACUACAACAGGUAGCAUCCAUAGUAAUGUGCCGUCGAAGAAGCUCCGACUUUGUUUUCAGCCUAUUACUUAUGGCAAGCCAAAUAAAAGUUCUGAUACUUUGAGGUCCCUUCCAUUUCCAAGCCAAACUCCACACCGAAUUAUCAGCCACAUUAUUGGGCUGGUGCAGAGAGAGGUAUGCAGAUUUUGCCGUGAAGUGUCCUGUAUUAGAGUGAGCCCAGUAACAUUGAUCCUGACCACUAUAAUCACAAGGAGCUUUAACUGAAGCAAUUUUCAGAAUUAUGUGGUUGGGAAGCAAAUGAGCAAAUAAAUGCCAAUUCCAAUUGCCAUUGUUAUCUGAAAAAUCAGCCACACACAGAUUUAUCAGCUGAUCAGGGAUUGGGUUCUGGGCGUAUGAUUGUAAGUUCUCAGCCUCACUGAGCCAUAAAUCCCACCAGAAUUUCACUCUUUUUCCAUCCCCCAGAGCCCAACGAAUUCCCUUCAGCACAUGAUCCCAAACCUUCCCUACAGCACGCCACAAGUAAGACCCGUUCCUCGUUUGUAAGCUACCCGGUAGACACAUGGUAUCAACCUUGUACUUAGACGUUAGAACCUGAACCCAAAAAGUAUUUGGAUAGUUGACUAGACCCCACCCCACUUUCAUCAGCAAAGCCAUAUUCAUAUGAGAUAAAUCUUUAAGACCAAGGCCUCCACACGACUUGGGUUGGCAUAAAGUGUCCCACCGGAUUAGAUUCAAUUUUCUUUUAUCUGCAUUUCCACUCCAGAUAAACUGCUUCCAGCUUUGCUCAAUUUUGGUAAGGACCGAAACUGGAAUUUUCGUAGACUGCAUGGCAUAAACUGGGAGGGCUUGAAUUACCGAUUGUGCCAAAGUUAUCCUGCCCGCUAGAGAGAGAUGCUUGGCAUUCCAGCCUGAUAAUCGCUGCUGUACUUUAUUUAGAAUAUCUUGAUAAGUUGCCUUGGUAACUCGGGAGUGAAGGAUUGGCAUGCCAAGAUAUUUACCAAGGUUCUUUGUAACUGAAAAUCCGAGUGUAGUCUUUAUCUCCCGGAUUGUGCCCUUCUGAACAUUUGGAGAGAAGAAAAUUUGGGUCUUUUCUCUGCUCACCUUCUCGCCAAAGCUUACACAAAAAUUAUCCAAGACCUCAUUAAUCACCUGAGCUUGCGCACUAGUAGCUUCCGCUAGAAGAAGAAGAUCAUCAGCGAAAAAUAAAUGCGUAAUAGGAAUACCUCCACGAUUAAGCCUGAUUGGUUUCCAGCACCUAUUCCCAACUGCUUGAUUGAUACCGUGGCUUAGCCUCUCGAUGCACAUGACAAAAAUAUACGGGGAUAAGGGGUCCCCCUGUCUGAUUCCUCUAGAUGGGCUAAAACUGUCCGUGAGCUCACCAUUCCACAAAAGUUGCAUCGAAACUGAAGUUAUACACUCCAUUAUAAUACGAAUCAAGUCCAUCGGUAACCCAAUCACCCCUAGGGUUUCAUGAAUAAAGUCCCAACUCAAACGAUCAUACGCCUUUUCCAGAUCAACCUUGAUAGCCAUCUGACCAAUUUUACCCCCUUUGUUCCUCAUGGAGUGGAUGAUUUCUUGGGCAACAUUGACAUUUUCUAUUAUAUGUCUCCCCGGAACAAAACUCGUCUGAGCAGGGCCAAUGAUUUGCGGCAGAAUGGUCUUGAGGCGAUUAGCCACCAAUUUAGUUAUAGUCUUGUACACCACUGUGCACAGACUAAUAUGUCUAAAUAAUUUGAGAGAAUCUGGCUUAUUGGUCUUGGGAAUCAGCACAAGAAGAGUUUGAUUCAAUUCCUUGGGCAAUUGCUUUUCCGCGAAAAAAUCUUUAAUAAGCUGACAAACCGAGGACCCCACCACGUGCCAUUGAGUUUGGAAGAAAAUGGCGUGAAGGCCAUCUACUCCCGGGGCUUUCAUUGGGCUCUUGCUAAAUACAGUGUCUCUAAUCUCUGCAUCAUCAACACCUCUGAUCAAACUGUUAAGCACAACAUUAUCAAUUAAAGGGAAAUCAAGAGUAACAGGGUAUUGAACAUGAACACCUCACUCCUUCGUAUACAGAUUACAAAAGUAAGAGACUGCAUGGGCUUUAAUAUCAGCUUCGUCAUGAAUCCAUUGCCCCUCAUCAUCUUUUAUCAUACCCACUUUAUUUCGUCGGCGUCUCUCAAUAGCUUUUUGAUGGAAAAAGGCCGUGUUCCUAUCCCCACAGGCAAUCCAUUCUCUCCGAGAUUUUUGGAACCAUAGCACUUCCUCUUGAGUUAACACCUUUUCAAGGUCCCUCUUUAGCUUAGACUCUAGCUUGCUUAAACUCCUAGAAUGACGUUUCUCCAGAAAAAGUUGAAUACCACCAAUUCUAGCCAGCAGCUCCUUUUUCCUUUUAAAAAUGUUGCCAAAGAUUUCUUUAUUCCAGUUCCCUAGCUUGUUGAUAAAAUCAGCAAUAGCAUUAGUGUAGUUCAAACUGCACUUCCAAUUAUUUUCCACAAAGGGUUGGAACCUCUCGUCGGUCAGCCAGGGAGCCAAAAAUGGAAAAGGUUUCACGCCCGUAGGAGCGAAAUUGAUUUUUCUGCAACGAGCCAUCACCGGUCUAUGAUCGGAUUUUAAUUUGGGGAGGUGGAAAACUUCUGCCUCAUCGUUCAUCAUUAUCCACUCUUCAUUACAAAUCACACGAUCCAACCUUUUCGAUAAGUUGCCUCUUGACCAAGUGUAUUUGGGACCCUUAAAGUCAGGUUCCAUGAGAUGGUUUCGAUGGAACCAUCCAUUAAAAAGGUCACACACACCACUGAUCCUGGCUGACCCACCUUUUUUUUCCGAAACUCUUCGAAUUGCAUUGAAGUCCCCACCAAUCAUCCAUGGACCAUCCACGGACUUGGCAACUUCAUCUAACUCAGACCAUAAAAUUUUCCUUACCAUGGGAAUCGGACUCGCAUAAACUGCCGUGACCCAAGAACUACACCCAUUCGAAUCAAUUAUUUUAAAGUGAAUAAAUUGAUUAUGAUUGACGAUAAACUCCACCUCAAAACUGUCAUCCCAUAGUAUCCAAAUGCCACCAGAAAAACCCCUAGCUUCCACCCGGUGAGACCUCUGGAAACCACUUUUUUUAAUGAACCCAUCAGCCUUUGAUCCACUAAUGCGAGGCUCGAAUAAAGCCACCAUAUUCAGUUUAUAAUUACUGACCAUAGUCUUAAAAGUCCUACAAAAUCCCGGCGAGAGAGCUCCCUGACAAUUCCAAAACAUUAUGUUGUACAUCAUUAAAAAAGAAAAAUAAUCAAAGGUGGUGCGCAUGAACCCUUACAGACUAGGCCCUAGAGCCCCUCCUCCAUGCACGCCAGGGGUCUCAUUAACAAUAGUAUUUUCAUCAUCAGACAUAAUAUCUUCCUCUUCAUAGCCAAAUGCAAGUUGAGGAUUAUCGCCAUAAAACUCCAUCGGAUUAAUAGUUCCAUCGUCUUGUCCAUCGGGAGGCUCAGCUAAUUUUCUUGGGUAGAGUUGCUGAUCUGAGUUAUCAGCCACUUUUCCACAUGAGUAGCCUGGUGGAUUACCCACAAUCUCAUGGUUAGGCAUGGGGAAAGUCACGGCAGUAUGUUUAUGAGGAUCCAGGGUGGUCAAGAUGAAAGAAGAUUCAACGGGCAAGCUAAGAGGAUGUCCUAAGGGGUUCGGGCUAGGGAUAGUAUUCUUGGUAGAGUGAUCUUUAGGAAUAUUGGGACGUAAGUUUGCAUGCAUGGAUGUAGAUGGUUUGGGAUUCUGUUGCUUAGGUCGUGAAAGCUGAGAUUUGGCCACUUGUUUAGCUUUGGAUAGGUGAUUAUGAGGCUUUAACGUGCCAAGGGUUUUCAGGGGAUGGUUCUUUCGGGUUUGGAAGUGAUCGGCAAUGGAAUUAGCUGGUUGUUGGGGGGGGAUAGUGAUAGGGUUCUGAACAGCAAAUUCCGUCACGGUAUUUGUAUCAUGCUCAUCAAUUAAGGCAGCAAAACGAGAGGCAGAACUAUAAUUAAAUCGUUGAUUCCUCUCCGAAUCGGUGAUAUUCUCCUUGUCCACCACUACUUUAGGUUUCCCUCUACGUGCCACAAUCAUCCAAGGGCCAAAUUUCUCACCAUUGUUCUUCGCCACAACUGAGACACCAUCCUUAUCAGCUGUCACAUUAGCUGUUGGAAAACUCUCAGAACACUCGGCUCUAUCUCCAUUAGCAGCUUGUUUUUCAGGACACGUAAUGCUAGUGUGGCCAUAUUUACCACACUGGUAACAAAUAAUUGGCAGCCCUUCGUAUUCAACCUUCUGAAUUUUUCCGUCUAAAUUAAAUUGAGACACCAAAGGCUGAGAAAGGGAAACCCGGACAGCAAUUCUCGCAAACUUCCCCCUCUCCCGUGAUUCGAUAUGAUAAUCAAUCUUAAUAACUGUGCCCACAAGUUGUCCAACCUUCCUCAGAACACGCUUGUCGUAUAAGUGAAAUGCCAUGCCAGGUAAGCGGAUCCAAACAAUGGCUGAGGCAAUAGCAGUAACGGUGCUGUCGAACUGUGGAGUCCAAGGUUGCACUGUCAAAUAGUGUCCAAAAAUUACCCAUGGCCCCUCGGUUAAAGCAUAGACUACAUCUUCUGGUGAGUGGAGACGAACUAAAUAAUAAUUGUUCUCCAGGUCAAUCACCGAGAAAUCAUGAAUCGUCGGCCACAUUACCUUUAGUCGGUUGCAUAACACCUUAUAUCCGAUGUUUCUUCCCAAUAACUUCACUACCACAGAAUUUUGCCAAGGUUUAAUCAGUUUAUCAUGGACUCGUUUCGAGAACACGAUAGUUGGCAUGGUGCCAUCUUCUCCAACCAUCACAUUGCCAGGUUCAAAGUCCCAGUCAUCUUCCAUCUCAGCAUCAUCAAAGUUUCUGUGUAGGCUAGAGGGAGCCAGCGCUUCCUUGAAGGAUAGCGGCAUUGGAUUAUCCUCGUCUGUACCAUGGCUGGGAAAACGAGCCUUUUUAGUGGACCGAUCUUCAUUCAGCGGCGGUGGAAACACUUUCAGCAGGUUAGGGUUUUCGUGGAGUUCAGCGUUUUCAGAGCACUCCGACAUCUUCGGUUAAUAAAGAAAAAGCCAAAAUUUAUCCUUUUUUAUUCCACUAUCUUAAUACAAAGAACGACCAAACUUUAGCCCCAUUUUUGUCUCGGAGGAAAAAAAAAAAAAAAAACAAUUUAAUCUUGCUCGCAAACCAAAGAAACGAUUACUGGCAAUAUAUCUUACUACUGUUACUCUCGUUAUUUAAUCAUCAUCACUAGAAUUAAUAAUAUGCAACAAGCAAUAAUGGAUUCAAAAACAAGAGCAAUUGCACAUGAGUUUCUUCCAUAUUUUCGUGCAUACAGAGAUGGGCAUGUGGAGAGAUUCUUUGGCAGCCAUAAAGUUCCAGCAUCAAUGGAUUCCUCAAAUGCUGUCUUCUCCAAAGAUGUAGUUAUUGUGCCAGAGAAAGGCGUAUCAGCAAGAAUCUUCAUCCCUUCAGCCGCCAUUAAAACAAACCAAAAGCUCCCUCUCCUCGUCUAUUAUCACGGCGGAGGCUUCUUCAUGGGCUCACCAUUUUGUUCCACGUACCACAACUAUGUCGGCUCUCUUUCGGCCAAAGCAAAUGUUAUUGUAGUCUCAGUUGAUUACAGAUUAGCCCCUGAACACUUGGUCCCUGCUGCUUAUGAAGACUCAUGGGCUGCCCUCACAUGGGUAGCUUAUCCUUUUAAUAUCAAUGGUCAUGGCUAUGAAGCUUGGUUAAACGAUCAUGCUGAUUUUGCUCGUGUUUUUCUCGCCGGUGACAGUGCUGGUGGCAAUAUUGUGCACAACAUGGCCUUUCAAGUGAGUUUUCAAGACUUAAAUGGGAUACAACUGGCAGGAAUUUGUUUGGUUCAGCCAUAUUUUGGGAGAAAUGAUGAAGUUGUUGAUAAGUGUUGGGUAUUUGUAUGUCCAAAUACAAGUGGGUACAAUGAUGUGAGAAUAAACCCAGCUGCUGACUCUAGGCUAAUGAGCCUGAGGUGCCCCAGGGUUCUCGUUUGUGUUGCCGAGAAGGAUAAUUUGAGAGAUAGGGGAUUGCUUUAUUAUGAGACUUUGAAAAAUUGUGGGUGGGCUGGAGAAAUUGAGAUUGUGGAGACAGAAGGAGAGGAUCAUGUGUUUCAUUUGUUCAAUCCAGAUUCUGAAAAGGCUGUGGCCUUGAUGGAUAAAUUAGCUUCAUUCCUAAAUCAAGAUAAUGUUUUCUGAUGUGAUCACCAGGAACUUAGUAAUCUGUGUACUCUUAAAUUUAGUGUUGUUCAGCAUCAUAUUUCUCUUUGGUUUCACAUUAUGGACAUCAUUUCUUUUAUCAGAAAUUUCAUAGAUGUAUAUAUAAGAGCAUUCAAAUACUCCAUCGAUGGGUGUAUAAUUUACAAGUGAUAUUGUGUACCUUACCUUAAGAACAAUAAGGAAAGAAAAUGAAUAGAGUUUAAUUGUAGGAGCCAUUGUUACUGUUGGAUCCAAUUCAAUGUGAUUAUCAAAUCAAGAAGAGAUCAAGAAAGAAUUCAGGAUCUAAAUCUAAAGAUUAAUCAAUGAGAUCAUAGGGACAUGCAAAAUCAAAUCAAGAACAUCACAAGAGCAAUUUAUGUGGCUUGACAAGCUUGCUUAUAUCUGCAAGAGAAAACAACCACGGCAAGCAUCAUUAACAGAUGCCGAUUAAAAGAUUACACUCAGCACUCUGCAAAGAACAAAUCCCAUGUUUACAAUCUUGGCUAACUCUCUCUAAGUUGCAAGAAAAUUUCUCAGAAACAACUGUUUCAAUUCUGUUCAGUUGGUAACCACACUAAGCUGCUAGCUCAUCUGUGCCCUGUCAGCAGCCUAGUAAUAUCAUUGACGCGUAUAUGAGACCUAACUUGAGCAAGAUCCUUGUUGGCUGUUGCUAGUAAUAUUUUAUUAGAAAGGCUAAUUCAGGCUUGCCGGCGCUCUGCCGACAUUUUCUGCUUCAAUGGGUUCCACAGAGCCAUUAUCAGAAAUCGCCCACGAUUUCUCUCCUAUGAUGAUAAUAUACAAAGAUGGCACAAUAGAGAGGCUUGUGGGCAAUGACAUCGUUCCUCCAUCAUUUGAUCCAAAAACAAACGUUGAUUCCAGAGACGUUUUGUAUUUACCUGAAAAUACUCUAUCCGCUCGUCUUUACAUUCCGAAAAACACAAAAGAUCAAAACCAAAAACUUCCUCUUGUGGUUUAUUUUCACGGUGGAGGCUUCUGCGUCCACACUGCCUGUUCUUCUACUUACAAUAAUUACCUCAACAACUUAGUUUCUGAAGCUAACAUCAUAGCAGUCUCGGUUGAUUAUCGGAGAGCCCCGAAGAAUCCGGUCCCCUGUGCUCACGACGAUUCACGGACUGCAAUCAAAUGGGUUGCUUCCCAUGUUGAUGGGGAUGGCCCGGAAGAUUGGCUUAACCAUUAUGCUGACUUUCAGAGAGUGUUUUUCGCUGGUGACAGUUCUGGCGCUAAUAUAGCUCACCACAUGGGAGUAAGACAUUGUCAAGAAAUUCUCGACGAUUGGGAUUUGUUUUAACUCAUCCAUCCUUCUGGGGCAAGGAUCCUAUUCCUGACUAGACAACUGGUGUUAAAACAAGAGAAUGGCGUGAGGCAAUGUGGCAAUUUGUUUAUCCUAGCAUGAUUGACUGCGAUGAUCCAUUGAUUAAUCCAGCAGUUGGUUCGAACCUAACGAGCCAGCAGGGAUGCGCCAGAAUGCUGGUUUUUGUUGCGGAGGAGGAUAUGCUAAGAUAUAGGGGAUGGUUUUAUUGUAAGAAGUUGAAGGAGAGUGGGUGGAAAGGCGAUGUGGAGAUUGUUGAGUCUCAAGGAGAGUUGCAUGCGUUCCAUUUGCGCAAUCCAGAUUGCGAAAAUGCUUUGUCUAUGCUCAAGAAAACUGCUGCUUUCUUUAGCCACGACAAUGCUUGAAUUCGAAUUUAUAUGGGUUGUUUUCACCUCUUGUACUCUCGCUCCAAUCUCAAAGCUUAUCUUUACUUUGUAUUACAGAAACUAAUCAUCUCGAAUAGAUUUGUACAAAUUUUUAUUAUGAAUUUGAAAAAAUAUGUAUGCCUGGUAUUUUAAUUUAUAAGAGAAAUAUAGUUUAACUAGGUGUUUGAUGAAAGUAACUAAAUGUUUGAUGAAAUGCCUCAAAAAAGACAUUUGGCUGCAACUACGGAAUUUUGAAUAUUACAAGCAGUCCUUUUGUAACACAUGUUCUUGCGCCCUUAGAGUACUACCCAAUAAAAUGCCACACAUGGCUUCUAGUCUGGGUUGUGGUACGGGCUUAAAGGUGCCUCCCACAGUUGGGGCCCUCCCCAGGAUACCUCGUGAUUAAUAUAAAAAAAAAAAAUAAGAAGUAGCUAGCUGCGUGCUUCAUUGAAUUACCUGUGCUGGCUCACAUGCAUGUUUGGAUUCGGUUCGUACAAAAAAUCUAAAUUUCAAAGUUUCUUGACAGUUUGAAUCAUUUUGCAUACCAAGAGCGAAACAGGGGAGAAAAGCAAAUAGAUAUGAGAAUGCAAAUGUUAGUAAAGAGAGAGAGAUCUAGAAGGAAAUUAAGGAUGCGUUUGAUAUUGUUUUUCACCAAUCAUUUUUUCAUUGUACAAAAACAUAAAAGAAUGCAAAAUGGUGUUGGCUUGAGAACAUAUUUUGUGUGUGUGUGUGUGUGUAUAUAGAUAUAUAACCAUUCUGCGGGGGCCCUAAUACGGAUAUGUUCUUAAAUCAUGGGGUUUUAUAAACUUAUUUAUAAAUUAUAAAACCAUGCAAUUUAAGAGUUGAGAUCUUAACUCUAGUAAAUUCUAUGGUUUAAAAGUGUGUUCGCAUGAAAAAAAAAAAAAAUUAGGAUGACACCUGCAUUAUAGAAUGAGUGUAUAUAUAUAAAGUAAACUAUCUCGUUGUAAAUUGACUAUCCUUAAAUUAUUAUUUUAUUGUUUACAAUCUCAAGUUAACCUAUUUUUAUUCAAAAUGUGAGAGAAUAAUGAGGUUGAGUUGAUGAUUUUUUUUUUUUUUUUGGUCUUCUUAACAAAAUAUAAGAUAAACUAAGGUUUUUGAAAAUAAUGGGAGAUUUGAAGAUAGUAAAGAUAAUCUGCAAUUAUCCCUAAAAAGGAAACAAGUAACGGUUGAUUCCUCGCUUCAUAAACUAGGAGUAUCGUUAAAGAUGCCAAUUUGGUUGGGUUCUCUUUACCUUGUUCUAGGCAAGCAUUUGCUUAUUUUUCAAAUUCAUUAUAUUCUAUUUGUUCACAAUGUUUUGUCGAUAUGUAAAUCUGUUGAGCAAUAGUUUGAAAAUUCAUCCUCACAAUUAUUAGGGAGAAAUCUAGGAAAAUUUAUAAAAAUAUGCCAAUAAAUUAUGGAUUUUUUAAAAUUAACCCCACAAAAUUAUAUUUAUCAUAAUUAGCCAAACAAUAUCUUUUUGGACUGAAACACCCCCUACAUUUCACGAUCCCUAUUCCCUUUGUUCUCUACCUUAACAAACCAAAACUUAGUUUCACAACAUUAUCAUUGUCGGUGAUGGUGACGAAGUACGGGGAAGGAAUACAUCAUUGGUGAUGGAAUAGAGCAUGUCUACGGCAACAGUGAUGGGAAAACCAAAUCCGAACAAGUCCAAACGAAUCCAAACCCUGCUUCAUCAUUAUUCAUUUUUUAGUGAUAUUAAUGAUCUCGAAUGGAAUUGUAGGUGAACUGAACUCAACCUAAACACACUCAUUUUAAUUCUGAAGGCAUCCAUUCACAUUUAUAGUGUCUUGGAUUUGGAGACUCCUCUAAACCAAAUCUAGAUUGAGUUACUUUUCGUUUUGGGGUGACAUCAAACGCAUCUCAGUAUCUUACACUCCUUUUUCAUCAAAGCAUAAUCUUAGAAAGCCCGCAAAAUUUCCACGAUGAAAAAUACUAUUGGCUGACCAACAUGACCACAGCACAAAUUAUUUAGGGGCUAUUUAGUAUUGUUUCCGAAUUUGUAUUUUAUGAAAACAAAAAUGAGAAUGAAAAUAAUGUUUUGCAGUUGCUGUAUUUCGAAUUUUAGUACACAUCUAGUAUCAUUUUUCUGCAUCAUGUAUUUUAAAACUACAAACAGUAAUAUACCUUUGGUAGACACAAUUGAAAAUGAUAAAAAUAAUGAAUAAAUAUUCGGUAGUACCAUUUUUAAAAACAAUUUUUAUAAAAUAUUUAAGUCAUACUUGUAGUUAGAAAAUAAUUAUUCAACUAAUACAUACACAAACAUACCAUAAAUAAUUUAAACAAAAAUAAUUAUAAAAAAUUACAUGAUGAUAAAAUUUUAAUAUUAGCAUUAAUAAAAAAAAGUUUUAUAUUAUCAUUGUUUUACACUAUAAUUAAGAUAUAUAUUAUAACACAGAUGAUUUAAACAAAAUAAGUAUAAAAAUUACAUGAUAGGCAUCAUGCAUUACAUGUGUAAUCAUGCCGCAUAAAAUGCAAUUUUAUCUUUUGUAGCAUUCAUCUCUACAACACUGAAUAGUAGUAAAUGGCCUACUAAUAUCUCAUUCAUUUGUAACCAUAUCUUACACAUCAAAGUCCUCAAACAACCUAUCACUAGCAUUUUUUCGUUGAAUAAAAUUAUGUAAAACACAACAUGAAAUUAGAAUUAGACGUCGCUUAUGUAAACUAUAAUUAUGCUCACCAAUCAACAUCAUGUGGAUCCAUAUCGUGUUACUACAAAAUUUAAAAAAAAAUCACAUAUAUCAAAUAUUAAUUAAAUUAAAGAAACUGCUCCUACACAUACAUAGCUCAGACUUUUAAAAUUAAUCAAAUUCAACAUAGAAUGAAAGCCAUUUCAGUAAUGUGUCAUAGAUUAAAAAUUGAACAUAUCACAAUCAAAUGUAUUCUACUACAAAUUGACCAAUUCAAAUUAAGACCAAGCUCUUGUCAAAAGUUUUUAUCUUUAACUCAUUUUUUCACAACACAACAAAAAUUUAAGAAAAAUGAAAUCAAGGUAAUGUACACUAAACCAAUCGCAUCUAAAUGAAUACAACAUGAUAUUAUUACAAUCAGUUCACGCUAAUCUCUACAAUUUUUGCAUUAAUAUGCUUUCGGUCCCUGAUAUAUUAAAUGAAAUGGCAAUGGAAUUGGACAAGAACAACCAAUACUGUCAAUAACUCACAACACCCACAUGCUUUGCUGUGAAACUCCGCAUCAAAAUGGUAAAUAAUAUGCCUUUGCAUGAUUUUCCAACACAACAAGACAACCAAUUCCAAAUAAGAACAACAAAAUCAUAUUUACAAAAUAAAUAUUUAAUCGGUCCCUAUUUUAUAGUCCAACUCCUAGAAUAGAAUUGAUGAAAUCUUGGCUAGCAAAACAAUCACUUAAGAGAUGUCAAAAAACUCCGACCUGAAUUUUGAUCCAAUUGAUCCAGUCCGAAUUUUUUGGGUUUUGACCCGAAGUUAAGGGUCAAAAUUCAAGCUUAGGCUUAAAAAUAAAAGCCCGAUCAAAAGCCUGACCUCUGACUCAACUCUACCCGAUUACUUAAUAAUUAGCCGACCCAACCCGACUCGACUCGAUUACUUAAUAAUUAAAAAAAAAGUGUGUUUUAAUUUGAAUUGUGUGACUUUAUUUGAAUUAGACAUGGUUUUUUUUUUGUUUAUGUUUAGUUAUUUAUAUGAUUUUAUGGUUGAGAUAUCGAUUGAAGUAAUUUUUAUAUUUAAUUUGAAUAUAUUAGGGGAGGUAAAUUUAAAAUAUUUAAAUAUUAAAAAAUAUUAAGGUUGGGUCUCCGAAAGUGAAAAUUCAGGCUUUUUAUUGGGUUCGGAUCCUUUAUUUAUAUUAUCGAGUCGGGCUCGGACUUUAUUAGCCACAAUUUUUAUUUCAUGAUCAUGAUCACAAAACAAAACAAAACAAAAUAGUAUGAUAAUAAUUAGUAAAAAUUUACUCAAAUACAAAAAAAAGUAAUUAUCCACCGUCCACCUGUUUUUUCAAACUUUUUUAAAAUAUACAAUUCUUAAUUUUUUUUUACUGAGCUCCACUUGAAGUUAUAUUUUUUUGCACAUGUCCACUAUCGUCUUCAAACCGAUAAGACUUUUCUGACGUCAUAAGGGUAUAAUAAUAAUUUCACCUAUGCUUCAAAAACUUAAUUUGGACAAUAUUCCGUUAGUUUUCUUAAUGGUUUGAAGACGGCAGUGGACAUGUGCAAAAAAAUAAAACGUCAAGUGGAACUCAGUAAAAAAAAAAAUUUGCGUAUUUUGAAAAAGUACAAAAAAAUAGGUGGAUGAUGGAUAAUUACCCUAAAUAAAUACCAAUAACUCACAAUAGCAUAGAUGGAGUCGAGAGAGGAGCAACAACAAACGAGAUAGUUGAGAUGGAGCAGCAUCGGCGGAGAUGGAGGAACAACAAUGGUUGAGAUGAAGUAGCAGCGACAACAAAGAUGGAGUACGGCAGCUGAUUUGGGCACACCGAGAGAGAAUAAUCGCCACUGUUAGUAGAUUGAGAGGGAUAAAGAGAGAGAGUCAGCGUUAUUGGACAAAGAAAUAAGGAUAAAGAGAUAAGGCCGAGACUUUUAGAUUUUAUUUUUUAAUUUAGUUUUGUAAUACGUGGAGAACAUGUUAAACAUGUUCUCACUUUAAUAGUUAUAAAAGUGAAUCUCAGCUUAUUUAUUUUACAAUUUUUUUUUUUUAAAUUUCAACCAUCAAACAUGUAUUAACUUAGAUUCAUAAAAGGAAAAUGAAAAUAGAGCCCAUAACACGUUGCCGAACAGACCCUUAAAUACUCAUAUUCUUCUAUUAAUUAACGUAAAGCCCACUAUUAUUGUCAAAAUUUUUUUAUUUUAUCCAUUGAAAGUCUGAUGGAAAAGUGUCACGAAACUCACAACUGGACACAUGGCCAAUUACCGAAUGAAUUUCCUUAGCAAAAACGUGAGAUGCUUGGCUUUCAUGUUCUGGCCGCUAUCAUCAUCCCAAUUUUGUAAUUCAAUUCAAUUCGAUUUCUUACAGAUUUUUGCAAUAAAAAAAUUAAGGUGGCAAAGUUUGCUUCAAUGGAUAGUUAAUUGCACUAUUUUAGAAAUUAAAUUGCCAUGAUUUUAAAAUCGACAUUAUGAUUUGUAAACAUUAUAUAUAUUUAUGUUAAAUCUUUCUUAAAUAGAUAGGGAUCCUAAGUCCUACCCCACAUGAGCUAAAUAUAACAAUUUAAAUAGUAGAUGACAGUAUAAGUGAAGUUCACAUACGCUCAUACUUUAAGAAUUGGUUUUUGUGAGUAAUGCCUUAUUUAAAAUUAAGGUUAGACAGUUGUAAAUUAAAAUGUAUAAUAUUAAGUAUUUGACAAAUAUUAACUAUUAUAACUUGAAAAUUAAGAUAAUUACUAGUACAGCCGGUUUUGCGUGGCUUUGUUUCAUUUUACAAUUUUUCCGAUAAAAGCAAAGAAGUUUUAUGACAAACACGACCAAACUUGGUCCUUUUUCUGUCCCAGAAAGCACGAAAUCACCAACCAAAGAAACCAAACUGUCAAAAUAUAUAUUUUUUUAAGCAAUUUUUCAUAAUGUCUUUGUACUGCUGCUCUUUAUAUAAUAGUCACAAAUUCUUAUAUAAAUUUAUUUUGUACAAACUGAUAUUACACUAUAAGGCAUGAUUUAUUUUUAUUAUUUUAUAUUUUCAUUCAAUCAAUAAAUUAAUGUCACGUCAGUUUGUACAAGAUAAAUUUAUACAAGAGUUUGUGGUUGUAUUAUCACUCUAAUCCAACAAUGGAUUCAAAAUUAAGAGCAGUUGCACAUGAGUUUCUUCCAUAUUUUCGUGCAUACAGAUGGGCAUGGGGAAGGGUUCUUUGGCGCCGAUAAAGUUUCAGCAUCAGUGGAUUCCCCAAAUGCUGUCUUCUCCAAAGAUGUAGUUAUUGUGCCAGAGAAAGGCGUAACAGCAAGAAUCUUCAUCCCUUCAGCCGCCAUUAAAACAAACCAAAAGCUCCCUCUUCUAUUAUCACGGCGGAGGCUUAUUCAUGGGCUCACCAUUUUGUUCCACGUACCACAACUAUGUCGGCUCUCAUUCAGCCAAAGCAAAUGUUAUUGUAGUCUCAGUUGAUUACAGAUUAGCCCCUGAACACUUGGUCGCUGCAGCUUAUGAAGACUUGGGCUGCUCUCAAAUGGGUUGCUUCUCAUUUUAAGAUCAGUGCUCAUGGUUAUGAAACUGGGCAAAACACUCGUGCUAAUUUUACUUGUGUUUUUACGCGGUAACAGUGCUGGCGGCAAUAUUGUGCACAGCAUGGCAUUUCAAGCGAGUUUUGAUGACUUGAAUGGGAUAAAACUGUCAGGAAUUUGCUUGGUUCAGCCAUAUUUUGGGAGAAAUGAUGGAUUUGUUGAUAACUGCUGGGUAAUUUGUAUGUCCAUAUAUAAGUGGGUUCAAUGAUGUGAGAAUAAAACCAGCUGCUGACUCUGGGCUAAGAAGCCUGAGGUGCCCCAGGGUUCUUGUUUGUGUUACUGAGAAGGACAAUUGGAGAGACGGGAUUGUUUGAUUAUGAGACUUUGAAAAUUGUGGGUGGGCUGGAGAAACUGAGAUUGUGGAGACACAAGGAGAGGAUCACGUGUUUUAUUUGUUCAAUCUAGAUUCUGAAGAGGCUGUGCCCUUGAUGGAUAAAUUAGCUUCAUUUUUAAAUCGAGAUAAUGUAUUCUGAUGUGAUCACCGGAAACUCAGUAAUGUGUGUACUAUUAAUUUAAUGUUGUUCUUCAUCAUAUUUCUCUUUGGUUUCAAAUCAUACGGACAUUGUUUCGUUACCAGGAACUUUUAACGUUAAUUAAGAACAAGAUUAACGAAUGAAAGAUCAAAGAGAUGGGCAAAAUCAAUGAAAGAUCAAAGAGAGAAGCAAAUUAUAUCAAAUCGAGAACAACCUGCAGGAACAAUUUAUGCGGCUUGAUAAGGUUGCUUAUAUAAGAAGAUAAAAAAGCUGAGCUAGCUUCAUUAAGAAGUGGCGGAUCUAAGAAUUUAGAUUUGGGCACUUGGUUCAAAAAUUUUUAAAUCAGUUUAGAGGUUUGGUUCUUCCAAUUGUUUACUCAACCACAUUUAAAGUCUCAAAAAUCCAGGCUUUACUUUUCUUUUUCAAAAUUAAAAAAUUGGCCAUGUUUAUAUGCAAUUAAUUUGCCUCUCUUUUAACUUGUGAUUCUUUUUUCUUCUAAAUCACUUCAUUUAAUCAGCAUAAUGGUUAAGCCAAUCCACAGGACCUUGUCCAUUAGCAUGGUAAGCAACCCAUUUGAGUGCAGCCCAUGAAUCUUCAAGAGCACAGGGGACAUGAUUCUCUGGAGGUCGUCGAUGGUCAAAGGAGACCGAAAUAACUUUACCUUCAGAGACCAAGAUAUUAACAUAAUUAUGGUAAGUAGGAUGAAAGACAUAAUUAAUAGAUGCAAAAGCCUCCGCCAUAGAUAUGAACCACUAGCGGGAGUUUAUGGAAUUCAAACAAUUCAUAAAAUUGAGUUAGAUGAAAUCCACAAUAAAACUCAUAACAGUUACUUCACUCUUACAAAUUUUUUUAAUAAAUCUUUAUCUUUUUUUGAUAAAAAUAAAUCUUUAUGUUAAACGGGUUUUUGUGAAGAUUGUUGGUUUCCUUUUUCUUUAAAAUAUUAAAAAUUAUUGUAGUGGGGCCAUCCACCUCAGAAAGCCAGAACAAGAAGAGCUGUGCUGGCCUGCUCUGCACAAGGUUGCGUAUCUUUCCUUUCUUCUAUUUUAUUUUGUGGACCUGUCUACCUUACAGAUUCUGUAACAUACGCACCCAAUGUAUGUACCACACCUGUCCUGCGUAUGGAGAAAAAGCAUGCAAUUGUUUUUGUUUGGUAGCUAGCUAACCAAUCAGGAGCUGGCUAAGUUGGAUCUGUAUGUUACAGAAUCUGUAACUUAGCCAGCUCCUUAUUUUGUGCUUAAAACUUUUGUUAUUUAGUCUUGUCCUCGUGAUGAAUUAACAACGCAAAACAAAAUCAAGAACACUGAGGACAAUAUACGUGGCUUGGUAAGGUUGCCUACGUCCAAGAGAGAAAACAGCGUAAUGUCACGCUCACGGCCCACUCAAGUUUGUCACGGAGACUAAAUUCACAAGGGUUUGCUCAAUAAAAGUCCGCUCAAAGAUAGGAUGCGCUCAACAGUAGAAUAUGCUCAACAGUGAGCUGCCUCAUAUAAUUAGCGACUCGUGGUAUAUUAGUAAAUUCACAAAUUAAAGUGAGUGAGUCCAGCCUGAUUCUAGAACUCUUUAUAAAUCUUUGCAACUUAUAUUGUCUAAAUAAUUAUACACUUACGUAAUCUAGAAUCUAAUAGAUUUUUAGGCAACUUACAAAAACUUGCAAGGAACCAUCUAGAUCUAGACGAGUCACUCUAUAAAUAAGGCAUGACGUCAAUCAUUUUGCUCAACCACAACACUAAACACCACACCACACACUAACACACCAAGCAAGCAACUCAAGCAUUAUUAUAAAGCUCUCUUAUAUUUUCUCUUUCGAGAAAUAAAAUUUACUUUGGCCAUAUUACUCUCCUCUCUCUAGCUUUCUCUCAAGUAUCCUUGUUGGCUAGCUUGAGAAAUUCUCUAGGCUUACUUAACAAUUUUUGUUCUAAAAAUUAUUUAAAUACCACAUGAGUUGCUGCGUAAAAUAUUUAUCCCGUGACAAUAAGCAUGUUUCAUCAACGAAUGCCAACUAAAGGUUACAUUAUGCACUCCUCAGAGAACAAUUUCCCGGUUUGCAAUCUUCUUUAAUCUCACUCAAUAACAAGAAAAUUGCUUAGAAAUGUGCACUGGUCACCAGCUUUUAAACCCCUGUUUCAAGUCUAUUCAGCGUGCAACUAAAUCACUGUUAGCCCUAGUAAGUUGCUAGCUCAGCACCGUCAUGUCACGAGUCGAGUAAUAGAAUUGGAAAAUGAUGUUUGAUCAGCCCAAACCCCUUAUGUUAACGGACAAAUAAAAAUAAAAAUUAAGAAUAAUGUUAUUUACACACAAAAUUGCAUAUGACAAAUAGAAUGAGGACACUUAUAACAACAUAUUAUUAUAACUAUUAUUUAUUCAAAUAUUUUUUUAGCUCUGUAUUUUCUAAAUUUUUCUCAAUUGUAAAUAUCACAGAACUAGUUUUCUAGGGCAUGUAAUAAUAUUUUGUCAGCCUCAUAUUGCAUAUAUAUGUUCAUUGAUCAAUGAGAAAUGUGAGUAAUUCCUCUAAAAAUUCAAGCUCUGUUAUGGUAUCAUAUCAAUUUUAAGUGGUAGCCAAUUCUCUCUUCUUUGUCUUUUAUCCAGUCAUCCCGACCAAUCCUUCAUCCUCCACCACCAUUUACAACACCAAUGAAACUCACAACACCAGUAUCACUAUCAAUGUUACUACAUCUCAUGGAAGUUGCAAUUUAAUAUCUUAUUCAUUGUCUAUGAUCUAUUUGGUUUUAUUGAUGGAUCUAAAUCGGGAUUGCUAUCUCUUAUUUGAUCUUGGUGUUAGUCUUUUCUGUUAUAGAAUGUUAUAUACUGUGUGACAAUACUGGGGCCAAUCAACUCUGUUAUAGUCCCAUUUUUCGUUCAAGAAUGAAGCAUGUUGCUAUUGACUUUCAUUUCAUAAGACAUAAAGUCCAACGUGGUGCUCUUCAUGUCACUCAUGUGUCUUCUGCAUAUCAGAUAGCUGAAGCUCUCACCAAGCCUCUUCCAUGAGCCCGUUUUCUCACUCUCAAGGUCAAGAUUGGACUUCUCUCCCAAGCUCCGUCUUUAGGGAGCAUAACAGCAAAUUACUAUCCUUAGUUGUAACUAUUAUUUUUUCAAAUAUUUUUUAUUUUUUAUUUUCCUAUCUUUUUCAACUACAAAAAUCACAACACUAGUUCUCAGGAUCUGUUACAAUAUUUUGUUAAUCUCUGAUUAUAUUAAUCAAUGAGUAAUGUGAGCCAUUACUCUAAAAACUCAAGCUCUGUUAACUUGUACAUAUGGAUAAAAUUAAAGAGAGUAGUGUUAUGCAUCACAAAAUUUCACCUCAAUUAAUUUGACAUUCAUUCAUUAUUUGAUGAGAUAAUGUAAUUAAUUCGCUUAAAAUUUAUAAAAAAUCAUUAACAAUUUAAUGAAUGAAUAUCAUAUGCCACAUUAUUUAGAAUGAAAUUUUAGGAGUAUAUUUUAUAUGUCUAUAUAAAUGAAUUUAUUUUUUAGUGGAAUGUUUCUUGUCUUAUGUACAAAUAGUAUCAUUCUAUGUUGAACUUUGUUUUUGGGGGGACUUUUUAGGCCUAACCUCGGGCUCUCCGGCCAUGCGGUGAUUGUAUCAUCACUCAAUAGAAUUAGCAGAAACUAACAAUUAUGCUACCUUGCACGAAGCAAAGUAGAAUAAAAAAAUACAUGAAUUAUUGAAAGGACUCAAAUGCCCUGCAUUUCAUUAGCAAUAGAAUAGUGAUAUGUGCACAAAAAAUAGCACAGCAUUAGAAAAAAAAAAUUCAGUGUUAGACAAUAUUUAUUUAUUUAUAAGUCAAAUGUAUAUUUUUUUUCUUUUGUAUUUUUGUGCCUUUUUUCCUACGAGUAUCAUUAUUCUUUAUGAUAAUAGAUAACAAUAAUGUGAAAACUGAAAAUGUGCCAAAGCUAUAAAAUGGCUUGCAAUUAAAACAUGCAUUCAUAUGGGUCUUCUUCAACAUUUUGGUCAUACUGAUCUGUAUUAGGGCAAAAUAGCAUUAUUGCCAUCAUUUUGGUCAUAGAAUUAUGUUAUUAUCGACUGAGUUCUAUGAUUAAUAACUAGAGAUGGCCAAUGGGCCGGGCGGCACGAGGCACAGCACGGGCACAACACGCACGCGGACCGUACCGGGCCUAGAAUUUUAGGUACGUAGGCCUUAAAAGUACGGCAUGAUUAGAGAUGAGUCAAAGCACGGCACGCGAAAAGGUACGUAAUAAGAACAUCACCAAAAGGCUCUUCAAAUAAGUAAUAAAUUUUAUUACUUAUUUGAAGAGUCAUAUUACUAUUUAAAGCUCCAAAAGACACUCUAAUUAAGAUUCUUCAAAUAAGAAAUGACUCUCUCUCUUUAAAUUUGGAGAGUUGAUUUAUCUCUCUUCAAUUUAUAUUUUAUUACUUUUCAUUGAAGAAAGAGAGAGAAGUGUUUUAAUUAUUAUUGACUUUUUCUUAAAAAAAUAAUUAUUUGAUUAAAAUAAUAUUAACUUAUUUCUAUUUGAAGAGUUUUUUGGAGAAUAUCAUAUUUUUUCACCAUUUUAUUUGCCACAUAGGUAAGCAAAUAGACAUUUGAAGAGUAAAAUUUAUAGAGGCUUUUGGAGAUGCUCUAAGCACGCUUCAUUGGUGGGUUAAGCAUGCGGCCCGUGGGCCAUCAAUAGCACGUGGACCAAAGUAUAUCAAAGUAAAAUUUUUUAAUGAAAAAUAAAUAUAAAAUAUCAUGAAUUUACAAAUAUCUUGUAAUUAAAUUUUUUAAUAUAUUUUUUUUAGCAUAGACUUUUAAAAAUUAAUUUAAGUUCUAGUUUAAAUAAAUAUUCUAAUUUUUUAUGUUUAUAAAUUAUUAAAUGGAUAAAUAAAUAUCAUGAUUUUAUAAAUGAUAAAUAAAAAAUUUUACGACAUUAAUAUUUCAUUUAUGAAAUCAUAACUUAGUUAAUAGAUAAUGGAGAUAUGUUUCAUUUGUGAAUGAAAGAUUUUUCAUAUUUAUGCACAAAAAAAAAAACUUAUGAACAAAAUAUUUUUAUGAUAAAUUAAAAAUUAUAUUUUCAUUCAAUGGAGUUCAAGUGCAAUUAUAAUAUUAGUAGUUCAAAUAAAAUUAGGUAUAAUUGUUAUUCUAGAAUUGUAAUUUUAUUUUUCAUUAAUCAUUACUAUGAUUUAUGAAAUUAUUAUUAUUAUUAUUAGGCUGGUGGAAUUAAAAAAACACGUCAGGUACUUGAAAAAAACACGCCAGACAUGUGAACUUUUUUAGGCACACUGGACAUGUCUUAAAGGAAAAACAAAAAAAAGUUUGGCGGGCAUUUUUGGACACGACCCAUGGCACGGCACGGCACGGCAUUGGUGGGCCGUGCCGUGCCGGCCCACGAGCCCAUGUGGGCCGUGCCGUGCCGGCCCACGAGCCCAUGUGGGCCGAUGUUUGAUGGGCUGUGCCGGCAAUUGGCCAUCACUAUUAAUAAAUAAUAACUAUCGUUUUAGUCUCCUCACCUUUUCACCUAUUGCUUCCCCCCUGCUUGUUAGGUGGUAAUCUACAAACGCCAAUUCAAUAUCUUACCUAUUUUGAUCGAUUGCUUCAAUUCAUAUCAAAAUCAUAAUAUGUGACUAUUAUCAAUGUGUAUCAACACUACUUUUGCUCGUUUUACUAAUUGUUAGUCAUAAUUUUAAUAAAUGAGAUUUUUUGGGUGGCGGGUAUUAUUACCAUCCAAGAGAGUGAUCCAUUAAAAAUCAUGUUGGAUUUCCUAAUGAAAUUGUAGCCUUGUACUUGUCAGAGUGGAUACACUAUUAAAUAUUAAGAUAAUGUUUCAUUUCAAACUUUUAUUUACACCAACCCUAGAGGCUACGCAAGUAAACACAAAAUUCUAGCUCAUGGACCUUUAGCUGGUGCCUGGUUGUAUGCACUAUUCAACCGGUAUAAAUGUGUUCACCAAACUUUCCGUCGUCAAGUUUCUUUUCUUUUUUAAAAACUAGGAUGAACAAAAUAUAAAUUAAUUCGUAGUCCCUAUUAAUUUUUCAUGAUUCGAAAUUUAGUUGAUUAGUACAAGAAAAUUACUUGAAAUUAUCAAAUUGAAUGACAAGAAAAUCAAUUUUUUAAUUUAUUCACGACAAUAAAAUGAAGAGUGAUUAAAUAUGCACAUGAAAUCAUCAAUAAUGGCAGGAUCUUGACAUAUCUGAACAUAUUCAACUGAAUAUCUCAUUCAUAUAUUGUUUUUUUCAUGAAUACGACAUUCAUAUUUAAUCACUCUUUAUUUGAUCACCAACCCAACAUUUUCUUUUUGCAUGCUAACCAACUGGACUGUCAUAUAUUAUGAACUAUAUUCAUUGUUAUGUAUUGGAAACUAUAUUAUGGACUAUAUUCAAAGUAGCAUUAUUGCCAUCAUUUUGGUCAUAGAAUUAUGUUAGCAUUGAUUGAGUUCUAUGAUUAAUAACUAUUAUUAGUCUCCUCAGUUUUUCACUCAUUGCUUACCCUUCAUUGUUAGGUGGUAAUCUCUAAACGCCAAUUCAAUAUCCUACCUAUUUUGAUCUAAACUAUUGCUUCAAUUCACUUUACAAGAAAAAUUAUAUUUUAUUAUAAAAAAAUUUAGUCACUAAAGAUGACAGGUUGGUUACUUUAUAUUUUCUACGAUAAAAAAUAAAUUGUCACAUGUAGAGCUGGUAAAAUUUGAUACAACCCGAUUACCCGACACGAAUACGACAUAAAUAAAUGGGUAUGGGUCAUCAAAUUUAACACGAUUAUUAAAUGAGUCGGGUUUGGGUUGACACGAUUUUUUUCCGUAUCGGGUUAGGGUUAAAAUUCUUGACCCAUUUACCCGAUCAAUGACCCAAUUAUAUUUUCUAUUUUAAAAUAAUUCACAAGUUCUUGUCAUCAAAACUCAAAUAUUAAAGAUUAUUUUCUCUUUUAUUUUUAUUCUUUAAAAGGAUGAAUAUAAACAUAGUGUUUUAUUUAUAAAAUUUUAAAUACAUUUAGAGAUUCAAUAGUGUAAAUGCGUAAAAUAUUGGUAGACAUGUAUAUUUUAUAAUAUUGAUAUAUAAUAUUAUUUACAUAUAUAAAAUUAAAACCUCAAUAGUGUAAAUGUGUAAUAUUUUGGUAGAUAUAUAUAUUUUAUAAUAUCGAUAAAUUAUGUAUGUAUGUAUGUAUGUAUGUAUGUAUGUACAUAUGUAUGACAGUGUGUAAAUAUUUGAUGUAACUUUUGUUUAAUAUAUAGAUAUUAAGUGGGUUAUUGGGUAACCUGAUUAUUUUUCUGUGUUGAGUUUGUAUCUCAAUAUUUUGACACGAUUAUUAAAUGGGUUGGAUUUGAGUUAAGCUAAAUUUAACACGACCCGAAGUUGACACGACACGAACACGACCCAAUGACCCGUGUUGGAUUUGGGUCAAGCUAAAUUUAAAAAUAUAUUUUUGUGACAAAAAUCAUUGUCUUAAAAUUAAGUUAAAAUCAUCACAAAUGGUAUUCAAAAUGGUCAAAUUAGAGAUUCAAAAAUGUAAUCAAUGACACUUGACAUUUGUCAUAAUAGAUGAUUUAUAGUGACCAUAAUAUCUAUCUCAAGAUUAUGUAAAAUAUAGUCACAAUAAUUACUAAAAUUCGUCAUUUUAGAGGUUCGAAAAUGUAAUUAUGCAACGCUUUUUUCUACUGUUGAAGUUUAUAUAUCACAACGUUACAUAAUCAUCCCAAAUAAAAAAAUUGUUUUAAGGACAAUUUAUUUUGUUAUUGCAUGACCAGUUAGAUGACCUUUGCAACAACUACAUUUAGUCAUAAAAAUUAACAUUUUGUGAUAGAUCCAUUCAUUGCAAAAUAUGUGUAAUGUAGUCUCACAUUAUUUUUAACCACAAUAUAUUUUAUUAUUUGACUACUAUUUAUAUCGUAUCCAAAAAAUUGAAGUGACUUCUCUCAAUCAUCAUUAAAAAAAAAAAUCCACAACAACAUAUUGUAGUGGCAUAAAUUGAAAUUUAGUGACCAAAAAAAUUGUAGUCACGUGAAAAAGGAUUUAAAAUAUGUAAUUACAAUCCAAAAGACUCAAAUACAAAGCAUGGCAUUGAAAUCCAAAUAAAUAUUGUUCCUUGCAAAGAAAUAUAAAGAUAAAAGUCAUAAAAAAAAGUCUCUAUUGUUUCAAGUACCAUUUGAUUUAGAUGUUGCACAUGUGAGUUGAUCAACCACGAUGAACGGAAGACAGUUUACAACAAUUUUACUUGUUUUUUCCUGAUUGUUUCUAUAAUUGAUUUUGUUAGAAAAUAUUAUUAAGGGUAUUGGGUCCGCCUAUGUUGCAACAGUUGCAACAUACCACUACUUUUGUCAUUUUGUAAUUUAACCAUUGGAUCCAAGGCAAGAAUGGUAAAAGCAAAUCCAAUGGUAGGGUGUAUUUAUUUUGGUUUUUUCAUUGCAAUCCCUCUUGUUUUUUGAAAUGUCAGGAAAAAAAUAUAAUUAUUAUUAUUUUAUUUAUUAGUUUAGUUGUUAAAUGAUAUGAAUAAGGAAUAAGUAUGAAAUUUAAGAGGACUUUUAUUAUUGAUAUUGGGCAAUUACAAUGCAUGAUUUAAUACUCGUUUAUUUAUUCCACAAAUUCAUAAAUAUUUCAUAAUUUAUUAAUUAUUACUAUCAUUUCUAGAUCUACUCUCAUUAUUUAAAUUUAUUAAUAAUUAUAUAUUAAUUAUUAUUUUAUAUUAAUUAUUAAUAUAUAAAUAUAAUAUGAUAUAAUAAAAUAAUAUUAUAAUAUAAUUUAUUUUUAAUAUUAUAAUUAUUAUAGUAAAAAUAAAAAUAUAAUUUAAAUAUAUUUAAUGUAACUUUUACAAUCUAACUUUUAAAACUUCCAAACAUAGGUAAGUAAUAAAUUAAUGUGAACAAUAGUAUAACAAUAUACAAUAUUAUGUUUUAAACACAUUCUAAUGGUGCGUUUAUUAAAUAAGAAUUGAAAUGAACUAGAAUUGUAAUAAGAAAUUUGAAUUGGAAUAAGUUAUUUACUUGAGCUAUACAAAUUGGAAUCAGAAUGAACAACAUUCCAAUUGAUGUGUUUACUUUAUUUUAUAAUUGGAAUAGGCUAUUAUAAGUUAUUAAAAUGUCAUUUGUUAAUUGUGUCCCUAAUAUUAUUUGUAUAUAUUAUAAUUAAAACAAUAAUAAUAAUAAAAAACUAAAAAUAAUAAUUAUGACAAUAAUGUUAAUUAAAACAAAAAAUUAAAAAAUUUAACAAUAAUAAUAAUAACAACAAAAUUAACUGAAAUAAUAAUAUUAAUAAUGAUAAUAAAAAAAAUAAAAAUUAUUAAUAAGUUUUAAUAAUAAUAAUAACAACAAUAAUUAAUCAUAAUUAAAAUAAUAAAGUUAAUAUAUUUUAAUAACAAUAAUUUUAAUCAUAACAAGAUAAAUAUUAAUAUUAAUGAAUUAAUUACAGUAUAAUAACAAUUAAAAUAAUAAAAGUAAUAAAUUUUAAUAAUAAUAAUGAUAGUAAUAAUCAUAAAUAAUAAUUAAAAUAAAUAAAAAUAAUAAAUUUAAUAGCAAUAAUCUUAUAUAAUAAUAAUAAUGAUAUUAUUAAUAAUAAUAAUAAUAAUAAUAAUAAUAAUAAAUUAAAAUUCUUUUCAAAUAUCAUUUUAUUUCAAAAAUGGACUUAUAUGUAAACGUUUGUUACUUUUAGUGGCUAUUAAAUUUUACAAAAAAUAUAAUGUAGUGUAGUGUAAUCAAACACAAAAGGACAAAAGUUGUUGUAUGUUGCAACUAUUGCAACAUAGGCGGCUCCUUAUUAAGGAUUAAAUUACUUGAAAAACCAAAAAAAAAAAAAUCUUCACUGCAAAAGUUAAGAAAAUGUAUGGACAAAAGUUAGAAGUAUCUAAUAAAGGUUAGCCAUAAACUUCAAUAUGCAAAAGUGCUUUAAUAAAGUAGCUGCAAUAAACAAAACUCGCCAACUAUAAAGACCUACAAUAGUAGGCUACAAUAAAUCACAACUAGCAACUGUAGUUCUCCAAAACCAGCAUAGAAAGACCUGGAAAUAGUAAAAAGUAAUGCAUGAAAUUAAGAGAAAAUAGUGGCAAAAAAAAAUGCAAAACUCAAUAAAUAAAAAUAAAAGUGUACAGGAAUACAACAGUAAAUUAAAGAAGAUUAAUUCAUUAUUACUGUGUUAAUAAGGUUUUUUUAGUAGCAAUGUUGCCUCCAAUUGAUUUUGUAGGGGCUACAUGUAAUUGAUAAUUUCAUCCAACACGAGGGCCUUUCCAAUUACCUAAUUUUAUGCCAAAACAUAUAAAGUUUAUAAGAAUUAUUAUAAGUAUGAAAACUCAUUAUUUGUUUUAAAACAAGAAAAAGUGAAUUAAAAAAAAAGAAAAUUUCAAAUGACUUAAUUACCACAGCCAUUAACAAGUUUUUGUAAAAUUUUCAUCCUCUUACUAACUUUCUCUCUUCUUACUUGAAACCAAAUAAUGAUAAGACCUUAUCAAAUAAUAAUAAUAAUAAUAAUAAUAAUAUGACAAGACAACUACUUGCUAGACUUUCACAAAAAUUAGAAAUUAAAAUAAUAUAAUAGAUAGUUAGGGAUAAAAUGGAAAAAAAAAGUUUAAAUUUGUAUCAAUAUACUCAUCCUUUUGCUAAUAUAUAUGUGACAAUUAUCAGAUUGUACUAACACUACCUUUCCUCCUUGUACUAGUUAUUAGUCAUAAUUUUAACAAAUGAGAUUUUUGGGUUGGCGGGCAAAAUUGCCAGCGGAGAGAGUGAUCCCUUGAAAAUUAUGUUGGAUUUCCUAAUGGAAUGGCAGCCUUUUACUAGCUAGUCAAAGUGGUUACACAAUUUAAUAUUAAGAUAAUGUUUCAUUUAUAUGACUUUCAUUUACACAAACCCUAAAAAUAAAAGGCUAGGCAAGAAAACACAAAAUUCUGACUCGUAGACCUUUAGCUGGUUGUAUGCACUGUUCAACCAGCAUAAGCUUGUUCACCGAAUUAACUUUCUAUCGUCAUGUUUCUUUUGUUUUUUAAAAUACAAAUUACUUUGUAGCCCCUAUUAUUUUUAAGAUUCGAAAUUUAGUUGAUCAGCACAAGAAAAUUACUUAAAAUUAUCAAAUUGAAUGGCAAUAAAAUCAAUUUUUAAUUUAUUCACGACAAUGAAAUAAAGAGUAAUUAAAUAUGCACAUCAAAUCAUCCAUCUACUGCGUAUGUCGUUCAUAUAUAGAUUUUUUCUUUUAUUGUGUAUGUCAUUCAUAUUUAAUGACUCUUUAUUUCAUCACCAACCCAACAUUUGCUUAUUGUCCUGCCAACCAACUGGACCAUCAUAUAUUAUGAACUAUAUUCAAUGUUAUUUAAUUAUAUAUCUACUUGUACUCCAAUGUUCUCUCUCUAUCUCUUUUUUUUGGCUUUUUAAUAACUAUUUUAAUUAAUCAAGCUUAUGAAUGAGGAUUGAAUAUUAAAGAGUUGAAUUGUAUAGGAGCCAAUUUGUGAAAAAGAAACUACAGUUUGAUUCGAUUUAACCUAGCUCUAAAUUCACCUUUCAUUGUUAUUCCGCCGUCCGCAAGAUGGAUGGAUGCACCAUGCCCAUUAUUUCAGAGAACUGACUUAAGCGACCACACUGCAAAUGUAAUUUGCUGCGAGACACAAUUAUGCAUAAUUUUUCAACAUGUUUCCAGAUGUCAAAAGUAUCUAUCAAUAAUUGAAUGACACUUAUCACGUUAUCACUUUUCAUUAGGUCACAUCUGUGAUUCGCAAAAGCUCUUGUUUGUGGAGAGGAAUUAAUUGAGUUUUGUUUUCAUCGCCUCCAACGUUACGUACCCAACGCCAAUCGAGUGGGCUCCCCCUACUGUACUCGCACCCAUCCCAUAUUCCCACCCAAUAUUGGGUUCACGGAUUCGAGUUCCAUUCUUAUGAUAGGAUUCUUGAUAUUUUAAGUAAGAAUAAACAAUUGAACACACACACACACAAAUUAUAUAUAUACACACACAUUUAAACAACUUUUACUUCUUAGUAAUAUUUAAAGAUAAUAUUAAUUGAGAUAUUUAUAUUUACAGAUAAAUAAUAAUAAUUUUUUUUAUUUUUUAUUUAAAUAAUAAAAUUUUAUCCCUAAUACAUUAAUUAAUAUAUCAACUAAAUAUCUCAAAUUAAAAUAAAUUUUAGAAUACGUAUCAUAUCAAUCAUAUGAUAAGAAUAAACAGUUGAAUACACACACGUAUGUAUGUAUUAUAAUUAUAUAUAUAUACACACACACUUAAACAACUUUUACUUCUUAGUAAUAUUUAAAGAUAAUAUUAAUUGAGAUAUUUAUAUUUACAGAUAAAAAAUAAUAAUUUUUUAUUUUUAAUUUAAAUAAUAAAAUUUAUCCCUAAUACAUUAAUUAAUAUACCAACUAAAUAUUUCAAAUUAAAAUUUUUUUAAAAUAUAUAUUAUAUCAAUUAUAUAAUAAGUAAAUAAUGUGAUAACAUGUGUAUAUUUAUUUUAAAAAAAUAUCAUAUAAAUAAUAAUUAUAUUAAAUUUAAUUAGAUAUAUCGUUCAUUAAUUAAUUGUAGCACAUCGAAUAAAAACAGUAAUUCUGUCCUGCAAAGGCCAAAUCCUUUCGUUAUCACCUUUACAAAAACGAACGCCCUCCACAUUUUGUGCUCUGCUUCUUCUCCAUGGAUUCCACCAACCCAUCAUCAGAAGUCGCCCAUGACUUCUCACCUUUGCUAAAAGUACACAAAGACGGCAAAGUAGAAAGGCUUAUGGGCACCGAUAUCGUUCCCCCAUCACUUGAUCCCAAAACAAACGUUGAUUCCAAAGACGUUGUGUAUUCUCCUGAACAUAAUUUAUCUGCUCGGCUUUACCUCCCGAAAAACACAAAUCAAAACCAAAAACUUCCCCUUCUUGUUUAUUUUCACGGAGGAGGUUUUUUCAUCGAGACUGCUUUUUCACCAACUUACCAUAAUUACCUCAACGACUUGGUCUCUGAAGCUAACAUCAUCGCAGUAUCGGUCGACUACCGAAGAGCCCCAGAGCAUCCUCUUCCUAUCGCUUAUGAAGAUUCAUGGGACGCAGUCAAAUGGGUUGCUUCCCAUGUUGACGGAAAUGGCCCCGAAGAUUGGCUCAACCGUAAUGCUGAUUUUCAGCGAGUGUUUUACUCUGGGGACAGCGCUGGUGCUAAUAUUGCUCAUCACAUGGCGAUAAGAAACGGUGGAGAAAUUAUCGACGGCUUUAAUGUUGUUGGUAUUGUCUUGAUUCAUCCAUACUUUUGGGGUGUUGAACCUGUUGGUUCCGAGCCUACUGAUGUUAAAAUAAGAGCUGGAACGGAGAGAUUUUGGCUAUUUGCUUGUCCAAGCACAAGCGGGCUCGAUGAUCCGUGGGUUAAUCCGUGUGCCGACGGUUCGAGCCUCGCAAGCCUGGGGUGCGCCAGGGUGCUGGUGUUUGCUGCGGAGAAGGAUUUCCUGUGCCCUAGAGGAUGGUUUUACUAUGAGAAGUUGAAGGAAAGUGGGUGGGGAGGCCAUGUGGAGAUAGUUGAGUCUAAAGGAGAGCAACAUGUGUUCCAUUUGUUCAAUCCCACUUGUGAAAAUGCUGGGUCUAUGCUCAAGAAAAUUUGUUCUUUCUUCAAUCAGGAUAAGCCUUGAAACUGAAGGGUUAUUUGCUUUGGUUCGGCAAAUAUUUGGGAGGAAAGAUGAAUAAGGUAAUUAUAAUAACUCUAGUGUGUGUGUGUGAUUUUCUUUCCUUUUUUUUUUUUUUUACCUCAGAAGAAAUAAGAUAGGUUGAUUGCGGCUAAAUACAAGUGGGAUUCCGUGGAAUCAGAAUUCGGAAAAGGUUUUGGCCUUCUGGAAUCAUUGAUGUAUUAAUAAUUAGAUUCAAUCGUAAAUCAAUUAAGACAACUUGAUGUAAUAGUAGUACUGUUCACGGAGUCCAUCGAUUUCUCUUUGAUUUCGGAUCAGAAUAUAUCCAAUAUGAGCUCUGUUUCUUUCAAUUUUCAGCAACUUCAUUCAUUUCACUUAGCAAGUUAUCCUACUAAUCUGGUGAUUUGCUGAUAAAAGAUGAUCAUGAUAACGGUCGGACACAGUUGACUGCCGGUCUUCAUAAUUGUUUUAUUAAUUAAUAAAAAUAAGUUAAAUAAAAUUAAAGUAUUAAAUAAAUAUGACUUGUAUGAAUGUCAAUAAUCUAUAAUACAAAUAUAGAGAAAUAAAUAUUUCUGCAUGCCAACGUGAUGAAGAUGAAAAUUUACUUUGUCAUGUCUGUCUUUCAGAAGAAAAACAAAUAUUGUGAUUUCUAUUGGAUGGAGCAAGAAAAAAAUUAUCAAUAGUUUUAUACUGGAAAUGCCACAAUUUCUAUGAAGUCGAAAAAUAUCUACACAAAUAUUUGGAGACAGCAGAGUCUAAACGAGAGCCGCACGCAAUGCUGUGGCUAUGCUCAAUCAAGAUAUGUAAUGCCUAAGCAUAAAAUAUUCAAUAAUUUGGUUGUUGAUCAGAAGGAUAAUUUGCUUGCCACUUAUUGAAGAGACGUGGAGCCAAGCCAAUCAGAGUUGGUGAGAAAUAAAGAGCGUGGUUUAGAUAAAUCCACAAAGAAGGCAGUCCUUACCAAACAAAAUUUUCUACCAUCUUCAACAAAAACUGAUACGAUUUUUGAAAUUACAGUUUCGGUUAUGAUAAUUCAAGGAUUAAAAUCUUACCAAUCCUCAUAUUAUCUUGUCCCAAAAAACAAAAACAAAAAAUUGAAAGAGAGUGGUUUGGCACUUACAAAACUAUUACAAGGUGACGUGUCAAUAAUCAACUCCACUAACUCUUUUAAUUUAAUUUGCUCAAUUAUUGUUAAUUUUUUAAUUAUGUAUUUCACUUCAUAACUCCUUUUUCAUUUUUUUCUUAAUGAGUUAUCGUAACAUUUGUCUUGAUUUACAUGGGCCUAAUUGUAUUUGUUUGGACACCAUUUUUGUCCCUUUAUCAUUUUUAUUUUAUUUUUUAAAUUGUAAACGUUAUCCACUCUUGCUGCCUUCCACAUACCAAAUCUUGUCUUCAUCUCUGCAUGUUUUUCUGCUCCAUUUUCCUUUCUCCUUCUCCUGGAGAACAGACAAAGCCCGUCAAUAUUUUUCUGCACUUUUUCUCUACACAUGGAUUCCACAGAGCCGGCAGCAGAAAUAGCCAUCGACCUCUCUCUCACGAUAAAAGUAUACAAAGAUGGCAAAGUAGAAAGGCUCAAAGGAAACGACAUCGUUCUUGCAUCAUUUGAUCCCAAAACAAACCUUCAUUCCAAAGACGUUGUGUAUUCACCAGAAAACAAUCUAUAUGCUUGCAGGGGCGGAGACAGCAUAUUGAUUUAAAAGAUAAUAUGAGUUUUCAUAUUAAAUAGAUAAAUUUAAAAAAAUUUAUCAUACUUCAAUAUAUGUUUACAAUUGUCCUUUACGAGUUUUCAUACAUUGGUAACGUUGCAUUACAACUUCAUUAUCAAUAUUAUUAAAUAAGUCUUUUUCUAUGUGAACAACUAAACUAUCAUUCAUCCAUUGCUCUCCCAUUCGGCUUUGUAACCGAUUCUUCAAAAUGUUCAUAGCUGAAAAUGCUCUCUCUACACUCGCAGUGGCAACAAGUAAGUCAAUGCUAAUGUUAUUAACAAGUAAACUAAUGGAUAUACAUUAUGUCUCUUAGUCUCGACCAUCCGCUUUGCAAGAUCACCAAUAUCCUUUAAUUUUGAAAACUCACCACUAGUGCGCAUAUCCAAAAUAUAUGUAUCAAGUUAAGUCCCAAGUGCCAUGAUAUCAAUUGUAGAGAACUCAUUUGGAUACAACUGGGCUAGCCGUAAUAGCUUCUGCUUGUUGAAAGCUGAAAAUAAAUCAUUUGGAGAUAAACAUGCUAAGCAAAGAAGCAACUCAGUGUUUGUCUCAUUAAAACGAGAAUUAAGCUCUUGAAGUUGCAUAUCUAAGACUGCAUAAUACAAUUCAACAUGAUAACGAUGCAAAUAUGUGAUCUCUUGAGCUUUAUGUUGUGAUCGCCCUUUAUCCACAAACAUAUCAUCCAUAUUAGGCACAUCAAUAUCAUGCUUCACACAAAAAAAAGUAACUUCAUCAAUUAAAGAAUUCCAUCCACUUUGUCUCAUUGUUUGAAGUUGUAGUUUACAUAACCUAACCAAGUUCAUAGCAUUCACAAUAUCUUGAUCUUUCCUCUGUAAUGCUUGUGAUAACUCAUCUGUAGCCCCUAAAAUAUUCCUCAUCAAAUGUAAACAGAACACAAAAUUAAAUGACAACAUCAACUCUAGUGAAUUCUUUGCUUCUCCUCUUUGCCCAGAUUUUGGUUCAUCAUCAAUAAUCAUUUCCAAUACACUAAUUACUGUUGAAAACAUGUUAAUAAUGCUCAAAAUGUAUUAUAAUAAAGAUUAUGAAUAUUGAGUACUUUACUUAGGCUAGUAGCACUUUUAGCAUAUUCCCCUAUUAUAUAAUUAUAUUAAUGCUAUAAAUUAAUUAACAAACAGUACAAGACAUUAAAGUUAAACAAGCAAAUGCUUAAUUGCAAUUGUUAUUUUCUUAAUCUAAUAAUAUGUGUUCUUUUUCAUGGAAUCUACACUCAAUCACAUUAUAUUUUUCAAAUAUACCAAUAGCCAUAUGAUACACUAACUAAGGGGGAAGAAAAACAACUAUAACAUCAAUUCAACAAAUAAUUAUAUAUGAUUUAUAAACAAUAAAAUAAAAAGAAAAUAAAGUGUUAACUUGUACCUUAAUUUUAUUGAAUGAAGAGAUGAGGGGUUGUUUGAAAUUUGGAGGAAUAAAUGAAAAUCACUUUCCACUGUCACUACUGUUUUGCUUUUGGAGAUGCCGAAACAAGAAGAUGAUUUAGGGAUUUGCGUAUGGGUGCAGGACGUAGUGGAAUUGGAGAAGGUAAAGAGUAAUAAAAUAUUAUUAAUAGGUUUGUGGGCUGUUUAAAAAUUUGAUUAAUAUUAAUAUUUAUGGGCUUGAUUUUAGUUUGCAAAGCCCAUCUCUUUUUAUUUGUUUUAAAAACUUAGAGUGUGAGAAGAGUGGUGAUAUUUAACCCCCUAAUUAUAUCUCACAAACCCCCACUUUUCAAUUAACCCCAUUAAUAAUUUUAAAUUAAUUUUUAUCUCUUAAUAUACCCCACUUAAUUCCUAAUUUACCCUUAUUAUAAUUUUUAUCUUACUUCAUGCACCCAUUUAUAAAACUUAUAAAAAUUAUUUUAAAACAGAAAACAAUUCUCAUAAUCGCCACCGUAACCAUGGAAAAGAAUUUAAUAAUUCCAAUAAGGAUUGGACCACGAACCAUGCCAAGUCAAUCCUAAAAAAUCAAAGUAUCAUGCUAAGUCUAUCAAGCCCAGAGUGAGUAUAGAAAUACAAGAAUUAGCCAAGGGGGUAGACAUGAUAGUUUUGGAAUUUCUUGCAAGUGCAGCUACCUUUUUCAGCAUGAGGAGGUAUGGUGUUUACAAAUUCAAGAAAUUAUAUAUUUAAGUAUUGUAGUUAGUUUCAAUUUGUAUUGGCUUUUUUAGUUCUUUGAGUAUCUUGACUGGUUGUUUUUUUGUUUACAAAUUGGAGAAUUUAUGUAUUUCUUCAUAGCUGUGAAUAGUCUUCCAAGUGUUUGUCAUUUUUACUGACUGAAUAAAAUUAUUACUUUCAUUCUCUAUAAAAAUGAUCAUUACUGUUUUUUUUGUUCUAUAUACAAUUUAUGAAGUUUUGCAACUGCCGAGUAGAUUUUGACCACCAAAGUGGCCAAAUUUCUUAAAUAAGCAUGCAUUAUGAAUCUAUCAAAGUAGAAUUAGGUUCAAAAGUAGCUAUUGUAACUCUCAAGUAACCCUUCUGAUUGUAAUUUCCUUGCUCAUAUCACAUAUUUAACAGUUUUUUAACCUAUUUACACUUGCAAGAAAUAACAAAAGUAAAAACUAAUUAAAUCUUAUUUAUUCCUAUAUCAACAUCUGGAUAUAGCUUUUCUAAAAAAAAAAAAUCUGAAUAUAACUUCCUCUUAAUGAAAUACUCAGCAGAUAGUACAAACUUCUCCAAAGCAACAGCUGCAUGGCUUCAGUUAACACAACAGAAGAACUUUUCAUGACUUUCCUUUCCCCAUUAAUUAUUUUUUAAUAACAAUCAGUUUUAAGGAUUUGAGAAAACCAGGCAAUUAAAACAUCGACAUGAUCUCUAAUAGCACAAAUAAACUGAUUUUCGUAGCUCUUACUCCAAAUAUUGUAACAAUGGGUAGUUGGGUACUACAUUCAACCAGUGGCUCUGUAUCCCCUCUUAGUGUUAAUAAGUUGUUGCAGUUUCUCUGGAUAAAAUUGUAGUUUCUAAAUAAUAUAUGAACUGAAAUACUUAUUACAAAACAACUUGCCGAAAUCAUUUAAAAAAACAAUAAAAAAUGGAAACACUUAUUGAUCAUCCAAAUCAAUUGUGUCUUUGCUUGCUACAUUAUGUACUAAAUCUUUAAAAGCAAUAAUGUUCCUAUCAUAUGGAGUUGCCCAUCCUUCUGCUAUAGAAGAAUGAUAUUUUAACUAACUACUUGCUAUUGGUGGCAUCGGUGAAUCUGGAUUCAUGACUACCUGUAAUAAAAAAGUAAAAUAUUGAAAAAAUCAUAGUUAACAAGUGUUAAAAAAAAAAAAUUUCUUUUCUUUGAGGGUUGUGGUAUGAAAUAAUAAUUAUUAACAAAAAGUCUAAAAAACUACCUGUAUGAAAUGACAAUUGUGAAUGAAUCCAAUUGCAAUAAUCUUUUGAGAGGGCCGUGGUAAUGGAGUUGAUCUGAGUGGAAGAAAAGUGAGACACUGAAGUUGAGAUAAGAAUACUAGCACAACAUUAUAUUUAGAAGCAAUAAGAUAUCCUGCUUCAGGGAAGGUCAUCCAAUAAUCAUUUGAUGGAUUGUUUUCAAAAUAUGAAAGUGACUGUAGAAUCUCAUCAGAUCUACCUGCAUACUUAAAUAUUUGGGUAUAGUCAUCAAAGUGGCUUUUUAAUUCAUCAAUAAAGUCCCUCCUCACUUGAAUCCAAUUAUCCUCACCCAAACCAAUUAAAUCAGCCACAACACGAAAGCCACAAUUACCAUCUGCAGCAACAUCUUUAACAUGAUGUAUAUAUGGCCGCAAUCCUUGUGGAAAUGAAUCAAUGAAAGAAGAAUGCUUAGGAAGUUGAGACUGAUGCACCUUUUUUCUUUGUCGUAGUUUAGAUUGUACAAAAAUCUUACUUGAAGAUAAAUGUGGAGAAUGACUAUUCAGUGCAGAUAAUACAUGUUCAAAUUUGGAUGGAUCUCGACGAGUAGAAUUAUCUGCCUUUGAAGAAGGUCGGCCUCGUGUUCUUGCUUUAGCUUCUGGCUCAAUAAGAUAAGUUGAUGCUGGAUUUGCUAGUUCUUUUAACUUCUUCAAAAUCUGUAACUUUCCAGUGUAAUCAUUAUUAUUAUAACGCUUCAAAAUCAUCUCCAUCUCAGUUGAACAACUUAAAUCUGUAGUUUCAGCUUUGGUAGUAGGUAAUAAGUUUAGUUUCUUCCAAUGUAGAUGUAUAGAAGACAAAGGAAUAGGUCUUCCUUCACGCUUAUACCUUGCAAUCUCAUGUGCAUAUGGAAUUCCAUGAGUGCGUCGAACUACGCAUCCAUAAGCCAAUGGAUCUAGACCAAUAUAAUCAGCUUGUUUAGACUCACAAAAUAUCAUGUUGAGUGCAUUUCGUGAAACAAAUCCUCGCAAUUCCUUGAAAACUGAAGGUUUGAAAUCAUGUUGCACUGUUGUUGAACUUCUCUCUAACGAAGCUUUAAUCUCUGUAUGCUGCAAUUCUACUAAAGCAUGGAUUUUAGUCCAUAACGUCUCAAAAGUUCCUCGUGAUGAUUGUAGUUGCCUUUUUAAUGCUGAAUGAGAUGUCUCAACCCUGUUAAGAAAAUACCCAAAAAAAAGUUAUUUUUUCAAUAAUAAAAUUAAAUAUAAGAAUAUAUUUUAAUGAAUAUUUACCUGUUUGAGGUUGUAUUUCCUAAAUGCAUUAUUGAAUCAGUCCAAGCUGCAACAAAUUUUUCCUUGUACUUAUCCAGCCAUGUGUUCUUCACAUAAUCAAUAGUUUCUUGAUAUCUAACAAAUUCACUCUCCAAAAGUCUUAGGUGUUGCAUAUAAUGGUCUUUUGUGGCAGAUAGUACUAAUAUAUUCCAACUAGUAAUGAAAGAUUCCCAUACCUCAUUAGUCUCAAAUAACUUCUUACAAUUAGCUAAAAUAUUUUUUGAGAUAUGCCAUCUACACAGAAGAUGAGUUGCAGUUGGGAAAAUAUUUUGAAUAGCAUUCAUUAGUGCUACCUCUCUAUCUGUCACAAUUACACUCGGUAACAUAUUAUUAUCCAUAAAACCUUUCAAUUUAUCUAGUGCCCAACUGUAGUUAUCCUCCCGCUCGCGUUCAAUAUAUGCAAAACAUACUGAAAAUGUCAUCUCAGUCGAGGUGACACCAACCAGCUCUAGUAAUGGAAAAGCAUACAUGUUGGUCUUGUAUGUGCAAUCCAUAAUUAACACAUGUGGAAAUGCCCGUAAUAGGUCAAUUGCAAAAGGAUGAGCCCAAAAUAAGUCCUUAACAUUGUCUGUAUCAGCAUCACUUCGAUACCACUCAAUGUAGUUAUGCUCAGUCAAUUUGCUCAUGAGUAGUUGCAUCUUUGACCUACCGGCUAGUUCUUUAACCUUGUAUCUAUGUCUUGCAUUGUAAAUAGACCUCAUAGUAGUAGCAUUAUAUAUAUCUCUUUGUUUUAUCGUAUAUAGUAUAUCCUUUGGCCUUGCAUUACUUUUUGACAUAUCAAUCAAUAAGUUGUUUUCUUUUUCAGUAAGUCUACCUGCAUAUGAGUGCCCCUCAAGAUGUUUUGCUGCAGGAUGGUUAUGUUAUGCACAUAUCACUUUCAAAACCCAACAAUUGUCAUUUGCCAAAUAUUGCCCUUUUAAUCUGAAUGGACAAUUGCAUUUUUUUGUUCCGGUUGCCUUAGGACAUUUUGGCCUUUGACCUUCACUAGAAACACACUUGUAAGCACCACUUCUUUCACAAGCGAAAAUUAUUCUUGGAUUUCUACCAUGUGCACUUACAUCUGACUUUUUUAUUAUAAUGACAUAUCCAUUUCUCUUGCCAGCAUUUCGUGUCCACUCAAUUAAUUCUUCCAUGCUAUUCAAAACCUAAUCAAAACAAAAUUAUAAUAUAUCCAAUUAGAAAGCUUUGAAUAAUAUUAAUUAAUAAUAAAAAAUUAAAAAGUGAAAGUUAGCUAUCUACCUUGUCAGUGCUGAAAACACAAGCACAAUCAUCUACAAUGUUCGAUUCUCUUGUGACAUUGUUUCCAUGAUUAAUAGACUUUUCAUCCUAAAAUUUGUUAGAAAUAUAAAAUUAUUAGGGUGUUGAAAAUAAAUAGAGUACAAAAAUUAAAGGGAAAAAAACUUUAAACUUACUUCUUCAUCCGCUAGUGAGUACUGCAACUAAUUUCUUCCAUAGUUACAAAAGCAGGGAGUAUAUAAUAUAUGAAAAGAGAUAAUUUAAAAAGUUAGAUUCUAGGGUUUUAUACAAAUUUUAAACGAACUCGCUUUUCCCUUUACUAGAAGAAGAAGACAAUCAACCAUGGUCACUCGGUAGAACUCUCACUCCAAGACUUACAGGUUCAGUUGUCGUGCUUGUUGGGUUUAUGGGAUCAUGCAAUAAUCAGGUAAUAAAGGCUCAUUUGCUACAAACAAUACUUCCGUAGCAAUGACAAGGAGAUUGGUUUAUUAAAUGCCACUAAACCAAUAAUCAGGCAAUAUAAGGACCAUUCUUAUGACUUUUUGUUUCAUCUAUGAUGCUUGUAGGGAAUCUCUAUUUCUUAAGGAUUGUUCUAAGAGGAUUUGACUGAACGUUUAACAAAGCAAUUGUUGGCUAAGAAUAUUAUUGAUCAUUAUAAUUAGGGUUUAAUCAAUUCUCACCAAAAAAAUUAAAAAGUUAAAGGAAAUUAGGGUUUAAAAAAUUAGACUAAUUUUAUUAAUUAUUAAUAAAAAUUAUUAUGUGGGUGUACUUAAAAUAUAUUUAUCCUUUUAAGUCAUUUCAUAUAAGGAUAAAAUAAGUAUUAAUAUAAAAAUAAUUAGUGGGGGUUGGUGAGAUAUAAUGAGGGGGUCAAAUAUCACCACUCAUGUGAGAAUUUAAGUAUAAUUAAGUAUUAGGGGCUUGAAUAUAAAAGAUUUAUGGGCUUGAAUAUAAAAGAUUUUGGCAAAUCAAAUUAGUUAGUAAAAGAUUUUUUUUUUUUUUUCAGUGGGGACUUAAGUCCCCACUGGUCCCAAGCUAGAUCCGCCACUGUAUGCUCGGCUUUACAUUCCAAACCAAAGACAAAACCAAAACCAAAACCAAAAACUUCCCCUUCUUGUUUAUUUUCAUGGCGGAGGCUUUUGCAUCGAAACCGCCUUUUCUCCCACUUACCACAAUUACCUCAACACCUUAGUCUCUGAAGCUAACGUCAUCGCAGUCUCGGUUGAUUAUCGGAGAGCCCCGGAGAAUCCUGUCCCUUGCGCUCAUGAUGAUUCAUGGACUGCACUCAAGUGGGUUGCUUCCCAUGUUAACGGAGAAGGCCCUGAAGAUUGGCUCAACUAUUUCGCUGAUUUCCAGCGAGUGUUUUUUUCUGGUGACAGUGCUGGCGCUAACAUAGCUCAUCACAUGGGCAUGAGACAUGGUCGAGAAAUUCUCGAUGGUGUUAAUGUUAUUGGCAUUGUUUUAAUUCAUCCGUAUUUUCUGGGCAGAGAAGCUGUUGGUAAUGAAACAGCUGACGCUAAGAAAAGAGACUGGGUCGCGAGAUUGUGGAGAUUGACUUGUCCAAGUAGCACAAGUGGGUGCGAUGAUCCGUGGAUUAAUCCUGCCGUUGCGGGUUCGGACCUAGCGAGCCUGGGAUGCGCCAGGAUGCAGGUAUUUGUUGCGGAGAAUGAUUUUCUGAGAUCUAGAGGAUGGUUUUAUUAUGACAAGUUGAAGGAGAGCGGGUGUAGGGGCAAUGUGGAGAUUGUUGAGUCCAAAGGAGAGCAACAUGUGUUCCAUUUGAUAAAUCCCACAUGUGAAAAUGCUGUGGCCAUGCUUGAGAGAACUGCUUCUUUCUUGAAUCAUCAGGAGAAGGCCUGAAUUCAUGUGCCUCUAACUAUAUUUAUAAUUGUCAAUUUCCUUUUUUUUUUUUUUUCUGUCAGCUGCUAUUUUUACGGGUAUAUAUAUAUAUAUAUAUAUGGGUUCCUCUAUGAUGCUGUAAAAAAUUUACAGCAUCAAUAAUGUAUUAAUUGUAAAUCAUUAGAUUUAAUCAAUGGUGUAUAAUAUUUGUACUAAAAAAAUAAUUUAAAAAUAAUAGUAAACAGUUUGUUAACGUUCAAGUGGGUGGAGAAUUUUUGUAAAAUAAUUGUGACCACCCUUAGAGUUUGAAAUAAUUUCACUUAAAUAGCAUAUUUUAUUUAAAAUUAUUUUUCAGCCCUCCUUUAAAUUUGUAAUAUGAUAAUCUUUUUUAAAUAAAUCUUCCAAAAUCAACUAUCAUUAAGUAUAAAAUAUAAUAUCAAGUAGGUUAUUUAACACAAAGUCUUAUAAUAAUUUGUAUUGUAUGAAUUUAAUUACAAACCAUUAAUACCUAAACAAUAAUGAUAAUAGAAGGCAUUUCAAUAAACUAUUUUAUAUGUGUUUUAUUAAUAAUACUAUAUGAGUCACAACAAAUGAGAAAUAUUUUAUUCACCAAUUAUUAUUGAAAAAUAUAUAUGUCUAUAUAACUAUAGAGUGAGAAAUAUUUUGAUUUAAAUUUUUAACAAAAGAUUAAACUAUUUAUUUCAUGCAAUUCAAUGGUAGAGGAUAUAACAUUAUGAAAUGUUGCUUUGACUUUCAAUAUCAACCAUUAGAUUAUGAUAUAUUAGUGGCUCAAAUAUUGUGUCAAAAUUUUAAGUUAAAGUAUCCCAAAUUAUAUCGUUAUAAUGGAAAUAUAAAAACAUGCAAUCAUUUUUUUCCUCAUUUUGUCCAUUAAAUAUUAUUUGAUGUGAUAUUUUAUUUAUUGUCACUAUUAAUUAUCAUAAUAAAAGUAAUGACUCUUUGUAACAUAAAAAUUUUAUAAUUACUAUAAAAGAAUAACAAUAAAAUAAUCUUUCAUGAUUCAUAAACUAAAAUUAAUUAGGAAUAUGUGUUAGAUUUAACUUUUAUGAAAUUAACAAAGUGACAUUUGAAAAUAAAAUGAAAACAAGCUUGUGAAAGUUAAAUUUUAUAAGGCUCAGAUAAUUUUCUACCAUGUCAAUAAAAAUUUAAAAAUAUAAAUGAUUUUAUUUCACUUUUUUCCCACGUAAAUAUUAUCGGAGGCAAUAUUUUAUUUAUUGUCACUAUUAACUAUCAUAACAAAAGUAAUGACUCUUCAUAACAUAAAAUUUUAUAAUUACAAUCCAAGGAUAUCAAUAAAAUAAUCUUUCAUGAUUCAUAAACUAAAACUCAUUAGGAAUAUAUAUUCGAUUUAACUUUUAUGAAAUUAACAAAGUGAUAUUUGAAAAUAAAAUGAAAAUAUAUAAGCUUAUAAAACUUAAAACUCCCACCAUGUAAGGAUAUUAACUGUAAGAUAAAUAUAAAGUACAUAAAAUAAAUUUGUUAAAUGGGUGUUAAAAAUGAUACAUACUUCAUGAUCAAUUAUACAAUGGCCCUUAAUAUUAUAUAAAAUAAUGAGUAUUUUAAUAUACAAUAUUAAAUUUUAUUAAAACAUGUGUGAUCAAGUAAUUUUUAUGUUACAAGCAAUCUCAACAAUGAGUUUAUUGAUGUAUCUAUGACAUUUACUUAACUAUAUGUACUUGUUGUGUUAUUUAUUAGUGUUAUAUCAUAUAUAAAUUUUUCAAUUGCAACUUAUUUAUUUGAUUUGUGUUAAAUAACCUACCAUUAUAUUUUAUACUUAAUGAUAAUAGAUUUUGGAAGAUUUAUUUAAAAAAGAUUAUCACAUUUCAAAUUUAAAGGGGGAUUGAAAAAUAAUUUUAAAUAAAAUGUGAUAUUUAAGUGAAAUUGUUUCAAACUCUAAGGGUGGUCAUAGUUAUUUCACAAACUUCUCCACCCCUUACACGUUUGUUAACCGUUUACCAUUAUUUUUUAUUUUUAUUUUUACCUACAAAUAUUGUGUACCAUUGAUUAAAUCCAAUGGUACACAAUUAAAAACAUUAUUGAUGCUGUAAAAAAAUUACAACAUCAUAGAGGAACCCUAUAUAUAUAUAUAUAUAUAUAUAUUUACCAACUUCAACCGUUCAAAGGAAAUUUAUUAAUUAAAAAAAGUAUGACAAUUCUCAGAAAAUCAAUUGAACACAGAAAUUAAUAUUGGGUUGGACUAUUGCCAUCCCUCGAAUGCCCUCGUACAACCACUUUUAAGAAUAAUCUCUAUUUAAUUCCACAAAUAACCUUCCAAUUAUUUUUCCCAAGAAAACUUCAGUGAACCUCAUCUCUCUCUACGAAACUCUUCUAAACUCAAUGGUAUUUUCUUUCAUUUUAAAUUUAUAAUGAUUGCGCUUGUUCAACACCGCAAGUUCAGAGCUUGAACUUAUCCAAUUCAGUUUUGGAGAGAUUUCUUUUCACACCACUAAAUCCAUAUUUUUAUUCUUUGAACAAGAAUGAGACAUUUUUUUCUUUUUCUUUUUUAUCACAAACAAUUGUAUACUUUUAGAGUCAUUUUUCUUUUACAUUAGUCUUUGUCUUUUAUUUAAAAUUGUUCUUUUGAAGAAUUCGUUUGAUGAUAGAUAAUGAAUGGUUUGUAACUGAAAUUCUAUAUAUGGGUCAUAAACAACAAAUCUGAUUGCUGCCAAUAUUCUUGAAGAAGAUGGGUGCAUUUAAUUAAAUUUUUUAUAAAAUAACUCAAAUGAAAGGUUUGAUAAGAUUUUUAAAGGGGUGCCAAUAGCUCCAUUGCUUAUUUUUAUAAAAGGGUGUCUGUACUAGGAAGGAUAUUGUUUGGGGAAGACAUUGAAGAUCAAUAAUGUGGCGCUGUGUGUUGAUGAAAAAUUUUAUGAUUAAAAAUAAUCACAGAGGGUACCUAACUUACACUGGGUACACUUGAUAAUUGAGCUGGUACGUGGAGUAUUCCAUACUAGAAGUAAGAUGGUAAAGAAAAGUCUCUAAAAUAUCAACCGUGAGAAAUACCUCCAUCACCCUAAGAGAAUAUUUGAUUUGACAAGAUCAAAUAGGAAAUAUCUUGCUAGAAAAGAAGGGGCAGCUUGCUGUCACACCUAUAAAAAGCAAAAGGAAACACACCAAGACAGUGGUCCUUAGCUGCCACGCAUAGAAGCUGUCAAGACAACCUUUGUAGAGGUGUCCUAGACUACUCUGCAACGCACAACACGUGUACAAGAAAACAAACCAUACCAAAUGAUGUCCUUAUUGCUCCUCAAGCAUGCUACUAAUGGCUCAAAAUCAUGAUACUGGUGAAAGGAUAAAAUAAACUUGAAAAUGACAGCAAAUCACCACUGUAAUAUAUGCCACGUGGUAGGGUAGUCAAGGUGCUCUAUAUAGAAAGACACUAAAGUUUUAUUUUGCUCAGAUAUACAACAAACACACACAUAAAAGACUAAGGUUUUCUCUAACCUCCAGCAAUCAUUAAAGAGAGCUUACAAGCUCUCAAACGCUAGAUAACCCAACUCUGACUUAAGCAUCGAACCAUGGUCACUGGCCACUUCCGGCUUCACCUAUGAUAUCCUUUUUAUUGUUUUGCUAGUUUAAGGUGUCCUUUCAAGCUCUUUCAGUCCAGAUUUGGACCUCUCACCAUUAUCAUUGUCUUCUCACUCUUCUUCAUUUUUUUAAAAUGCACAAAACAACGCACAAAUUGCAACUAAGUGAGGUACCUUAUAUCCUGAAAAUAAAUUUAUUAUUUUAGUUAGGUUUUCCUUUUUUCUUUUGCACCCAAAAUCUACCUGAAACAAUCAUCUUCAUCUUUAUCAAGACUAAACAUCUCUAUAUAGCUAUCUAGCUUAUUUUAUUCAUCUUUUAUAAUGUAGAAUCUUAUAUAACAUUUCAUUUAUAUAACGAAUUGGUGAUUACUUGCUCCUAUAGACGUAGGCUAAAUGGCAAACCACGUAAACAUUGUGUGUUAUAAUGGAUUGAUGAUUACUUACUCCCGUGGACGUAGGUCAAAGGCUAAACCACGUAAACAAUGUGUGUUCAUUGCCUCUAUGUUUAUUUUGCUAUAUUUUCAAUUUACAGAAUUACAGUUGUAAUUAUGUUCAUGUGUAAGCAUACUUGACGUACCCCACUUACACUAAGUAUUUGGUGAGACACUUGAGCUAUCACUCGAGUAUACUUGAGCUACCCUAACUACGCUAAGUAUUUGGUGGGACACUUGAGUUACUCCCUAAAUUAACUCCUAUAUAUUAUUUUGGCUCACCACCUAGGGUACCUUAGUUAAACCACCUAUCACAAAUAUCAGAAAAAAACAUCUAAGUCCAAACUUAGCACAAGCUCCCUCAAAUGUAAAUUUAUUUAUUUGAGACAGAUUUGAUCUGGUAACUAGUACGAAUCAGAUCCUAAUGAAAAUUUGGUGAAAACGGGUAUUAUCAAUAAUCUGCCCUACUAACAACUAACUAUUUAUUAAGAUAACAUUUAUUCUUUUUAUUUGAAAUUUAAAUUAGUUUAACUGAAGUUUAAACAAAUCUAAAUCCAUUUGUCUGUUUUCAUUUUUUGAUGCCUAAGUAUAUAAGUGGUAAGUUGUUUGCUUUUAUAAACUCAAAAUAUCUUAAAUCUAGUAUUUUAUACUUAUAUCCUUAGAUGUAUUAUACAUUUGGAAGUUUAAAUAGGUAUAUGUUUACCGGGUUAUUUAGUAUAGUAAUAUUUAUAUGUUAUGAAUAAUUAUAAGCUAAGCAUUUGAUAUACAGAAGAAAUAAACUAUGAAAAAAUAAUUUUGAUAACAAUAGUUUUUACAACUUACAGAAUAUUUCCACAUAAAAAAUUGCUAUCUAAUAAUAAAAGAAUAGUGUAAAAUUCAAAUUGAAUGUAUGUUAGGUAUUUAAUAGCAAAUAAAAGUUUAGAUCAAGAGAAGUUUUAAUGUAGGAUAAGAAACUUAAGACUCUAAAUUUGAGUUGUCCUCGGAUGUACACCUGCUUAUGGCACCUCGGAAUUAUAGACUUACUAUGGUAAAAGACUUAGACCCAACGUAUUCGUUGGAGUCGUGGGAGCAAAGCAAGGCUUGCUAGAUAGAAAAUAUGAAAUAUUCUGAAAAAAACCUUCGUCUGCUAGUUUUUUUAGUGUAUCCAUGAUUAAUUCUUCUACCUUUUGAGUGUCAUCUUCAGAAACAUUCUUCAAUCCGAUACUAAAUUGAGGCUGAAGGAGUUCAUCUUCAAUCCCACCACCAACAAUGGCAUCUCCAAGACCACUUUCUAGUAAAAUUUUCCUCAAGGGAGAAGCAGGAGUUCCCAGCAUAAGAUGAUCCAAGAACCCAAGGGCAAGUUCCGUUUCCAAGUCUAAGGGCUUAUCUGAGAGCAACCAAUUAAGGCAUACCAUGUUCUUCUUCUUAAUAUCACCAGCAUCACCAGCAGGGUAUUUCUCAAUAAUCCUGAUUGGUUCUGAAAAUAGUUUCUGUUUUUCAACUAUUGAUUCAUUUGGGGCUGAACUUGCUUCAAACAUAUUCAAAUACUCUGUGACAGAGAAAGUGCAAUUAAGAUGCUAGUGUACAGAACAACUUGAAUUAAGACCUUAUCAUUCAACUUACUAUCAGAAUGGCAACAUUUUGACAUGCAUGUGCACAAGAAAAUGUUGGAUAUGCAUAGACAAGUGAAUAUUGGAUAUGCAUUGGAUUUUGGACCAAAUAUAAUUAAAAAGUUGCAAAUCAUACUGGAUAUGAAAACUUCCAGUUUUGGUUAUAUAUUGGUCUUUUGACUGAAAAUAGUAAAAUACUGCAUAUACCAAGUAAAGAUACGAAGACAAGCUAUAAUUAUAAUGCAUCUUUGUACCGAAACUAGUUCCACUAGAGCAAACUCAAACAAAUCCAUUUUAGGAAGGAUUUUAGUUUCCAUUAUUUAAUUGCUCAACCAGGCAUAGUUUUCAAGGACCACUCAUGCAUAUGCAUCACUCUGGGACCAGCACCCAUAAGCUUCGGGGGACAACCGAAAGUGGUAAUCCAGUGAGAAAAAAGAAAAAAAAAAUUAACAAAGAGCAUGGAUACUCAAUUCAUUCUCAAUAGAGAUGUCAUUUAUUACCACUCAGGAUGCGUAAGCGUUCAUUUGGAUCAUCGUCUCCAUAGAACCAUAUCCUGGCAUUGCUGGGGUGGUAAUAUUUACGGUGAAAUUCCUGCCAUCAGAAAGACAGCCUGAGAAAAAUAACUAACACAACAUUUAAGUUAAAAAAUCCCCAUACCAACAUAAAUCCAAAAAAAAAAUAAAAAUCAAAAUGCAGUAAAGAAUAUACCUUAAACUCCUCAAAUGUCAGCUUUGGAAUAACUUUUGGAUCACCUCCGCUAUCUACACCAUAUGCAUUGUCGGGAAAUAAAGCCUGUGAAGAAGUUUUGUAACUCAGUUGCAAGAGCAAACAAGAUAGCUUUAUCAGAAGCAUUCAAAAAGAAUGAAUUGGAAGCAUCAAUAAAUGAUCCAUAUGGGUAUGCAAUCAUAAGAUUCAGGCACUUUGUCAGUGAAACUUCGGAGGAAUAAACUAUGAACCAGUUUUCCAUUGUUUCCUGAUUGUAAGGAAUCUGAAAAGAUAUACAGUCAGACGAAUGGAGAACUUGCCUGUUGAGCAGCCCGCCCUAAUAUAUUAUCAGGCUGCGAAUAGACACCUUUCAUCUCAUUGAAAACAACACCUUCAAUUAAGAACAAAAAAAGGAAGGUCAAAGAACUUAGUUGCAAGUUGGAUGAAUCAUCACCAGGGAAAACCAAAUAACAGCAGAAGUUUAAUAUAUAUAUAUAUAGAGAGAGAGAGAGAGGGAGAGAGAGAGAGAGAGAGAACAAAUAUCUGCAGAUAUCAAACCUUUAUAAGUUAUAUCCUCUGAAGGAUUAUCCAGCUUAAAAUGCCAACCCUCCUGUUGAAAAGUCUGGAAGUCCUCCACACACUUUGGGAAAAAGACAGCAUCGAAGUAGACAUCGACCAAAUUAUAAAAAUCCUGUUUAGGAAAACAUCUUAGCGGAAGUAAAAUCCAAAAAAGAUGUAAGAGUUUCCAAGCUUAGGUUCCCCUUCCUCAUAACUCCAACUCAUUUUCUUACCUUUGUAUUCGUAGAAGCAACUGGGUAACAUGUUCUAUCAGGAUAUGUGAAUGCAUUCAGAAAAGUAUUCAAGCUUCCUUUCAACAAUUCAACGAAUGGUUCUUUCAAAGGAUACUUUCUUGAACCACACAACACACUGUGUUCCAAUAUGUGUGGAAUCCCAGUUGAAUCCUUCCUGCAUUAUCAAAUAGGUAAGGCAUAAUGAUAAGACCUUUUGCAACCCAAAAACGUGUCUCGUUGUCCAGAAAACUAUAACUGCCUGAAAAUUAUUUUCUUGUAUUCUUAGCAUUUCAAUGAUAAUAUCUAACAAUGUAUCUGAUUUAAAUUAAUAUAAUCAAAUAAAAUGAAAAGAGAAAAUAAAAAGACGAUAUCAAACGGUGAUAUCGCUGUCGCCGCGGAGGAGGGAGCGCCUGGUGAGGUUGUUGAUCAGACGGUGGUGAUUCCUCCUCGCAACAGCAACUGAUGAUGAUGAAAAUUUGGCGCGAGGUACGAAAGAGCGAAAGUAGAAUCUGUUGGAAGCGAGGGAAGUACAAGAGAGAGAACGAAGCAACGCGGCUCGCUCCAUUGUUAGAAGAAGGAUAGGUACUAC
RNAcentral lists this long non-coding RNA (52605 nucleotides) under Citrus maxima (pomelo). Its description in RNAcentral is "long non-coding RNA (CMAX_LNC003306)". The record is from RNAcentral. Lineage: Eukaryota; Viridiplantae; Streptophyta; Magnoliopsida; Sapindales; Rutaceae.